CAAAUUUUUUGACAUUAAGACAUCAAUUAAUCAAUUAGGUACCAAUUUUGAGCGUUACGAGGGUGCUAAUCCUUCCUCAUACGUAACCGACCCCGGACCUGUUUUCUUAACUUUCGUAGGCCAAAAACAAUUUUUUUAAUAAAAUAAAAUGUUUUAUUAGGUGAUCCGAUCACACCUAAACAAAAAGAAUUGGUGGCGACUCCAUACCAUAUUUUAAAGUCGAUCCCCCAUUUCUUUGAAAAUUAAAAAAAAUGGUUUCGACUGCUUGGCGAAUCCGCUGGGGACAUAAGGGAGUCAAGCUGUAAAAUUGAUUAUUUUCUAUCCUUUAGUCGAAAAUUGAAAAUUGGAUUUGAAAAAAAUCAUGAUUUUUUUGUUGCAUUUGUUUGUGAUCCUUAUGAUUGCUGUAGAUUAAGUCUCGUAGAAUACUCUUGCAUUGCAUUGCAUGACCGUUGUGGUUACACCUUUUAAGUGGGAGGGAUAAGCUAUGCCUUCGUGAGGUUUUCUCCUUCGUAUGGGCUAGUUGUAACACCCCAAACCUGGCCCAGAUGUUAUGGCUGAAUCCGACGUGUCACAUUAAAGUUUUUUAAGAAAGCCCAUGCCUCUUUCAACGUCCUUCUUAGUGUUUUAAAAGAUAGUCUUUGCUAAGUUGAUAAAGUGAAUAGAAGCUGUGCACCAGGUAGGUAUCCGUAACAGAGGAGGUGAGCCAUGAAGGCUGCUUAAGUACCAAGCUCUUGAUUGGAUCCAAUCCUAGACAUGCCCACAACCAUUGCCACACUUUGGCGCGAGGUUAGGUUUUGGAAAAAAAAGGUCGAGUUGGAAUUCAUUUAAGCAGAUAUUUUUGAUAAACCGAUUACUUGUAUUGUUGCGCUAUUUUGAAAACAAGUAUCACUUUGAAAACGCGCCCUAAGUCUAACCCAUUUUGGAUAAUUAUCAGUAAAAUAUAGAGUAUAGAAUAAAAUAAAAUAAUCCCAGGAAAAUAAUUAAAAUGGCCUUAUUACAACCCAAAACCGAAUAAUAAUAAUAAUAAUUAGGAUAAGACUUAUUAAAAAAACUAGUUACUUAUUGCAAACUUCGGAAGCGAUCACCAUGGCCACUCUGAAUCCCCUCCGGCUCCAAGUCACCACAUCAAAGCUCACCUACAAGGUUAAGGAAAGGGGUGAGUUUAGAAACUCGGUGUGCAACAAGCCCCUUUCAGAGCCCAAACUAAUAUCAGCAUACUGGGCCAAAGCCCUAAUUCAGUCUCGUCAUAUACUGGGCCGAAGCUUUUCGUUUAACAGUUACUGGGCCGAAGCCUUUUCAUAAAUCAUACCACUAGGCCGAAGCCUUUACUGUAAACAGUAUGGCCCAUAGGCCCAUUUCAAUAUCACAUGAAAUACCAAUGAAUGUAUGCAAGCUCAUUUGGGGAGACUACUCAACCCACCAUCCGCUACUCUCCACCCGUACCAACCAAGCUCUCCAUGUGGGGAAUAACUCAACCCACCCAACCAAACUCUCCACUGGCAGCAUAGCUGUUUUAUCAUUAAUUGGAGGCCUAGCCUCUUUUAAUAACUGGGGCAAAGCCCUUUUUGGUAAACUAGGGCAAAGCCCUUUUCGCACGACCUUCAUUUAUAUAAACCCCAACCCAUGCAUAUAAUGAGUAUAUCAUGGCAUAUCAUGUGCAUCUCAUGACAUAUCAUGUGCAUACCAUGUCAUAUCAUGUAUUAACAAUAUCUCAUGCUUCAUAUUCAUAAUUAAACCCUAGGGGGUAUAAUGGUCAUAUUUACCUAGGGCAAAAUAGUCAUUUUUCAUAUUAUAAGGAUAAUUUCGUAAUUUUACCAAAUAUUAUGGGUUUCCCAUGUUCAUUAACGAUUAUCAAUGUUUCUGAGUGUUUAAACAAUGAUCUUUAACCCACUUAUCAAAUUUGGGCUUUUGGGCCCAAAACCCCUAAUGAGCCCUACGAAUGUCGAUUUUAGCCCACUAAGCCCACUUAAACCAAAUUUUACAACAGUACUAACCGUGUUAACAUGAAACUUUUCCAAAUUCCAUUUUCUAUCAAUUUUACACAAAUGGCCCGAAAAGCCCAUUGGGCCCAGUUCCAGCCCAUUGAGGCCCAACUUACCAUCGUGCACAAAAUUGUUCUCUUACCUGUUCCGUCGAUCCAAAAUCGAUCAUAUCGUAUUUAUUGCAUCUAUAAACAAAUGCAAAAUCACAAGUUCCCAAAAUGCUGGAAUUUUAGCAUUUCGGCUUUUCAGCGAAUAUUAAUCUAAGCUAGUACGAGGGUUAUUACACACCUGUUUUGUGACGUUUACUAACAAGGUCUCCCAUGACAACCUAAAAUUAAUCACCACCAUUCUUAGUUUACAAUUCAUGCUUAUCAAACCCAAAAUCCACCUUACCAUAGUCGGCCAAAGAACCCCUAAUAGCCAUAGAUCACUUACCUACACAAGGUCCGAUGAUUCGAUCCAAGUUUAUCCAAACUGAUACUCCAAGCCUUGCUCCUCCUCCAAAGUUGUCUAUAUCACUACACAAACUAUAAAAAUCGAAUGAAAAGGCCCAGUGAGGCCUAUACCUCAAAUCGACAACCUCUCUAAACUAUAGGAGGUUUCAGCUUUUCUUAACAUUUACACUACUGAAUCAAUUUGGAAAACGAGUACUUGCCACAGUCUUCCCUUUUGUACUGUUUAGACCCAAAGUAUACUUAGCCCUCAACCACCUAGCAGCCUUCGAAUCCUAGAGGUCUACAAGUUCAGUUAUGCCCCUAGAACUAAGGUAUUUCGGCUUUUAGGACCAAGAAAAAGAAAAAGAAAUGGUGUGGUGGCUUUGUAUUUGUGUUGCCGUCAGGGACUUUUAGAGUUUAGCGGAUGAAGGGAUCGGUCACAACAAACGAAGAGCAAAGAAUGAUGCUGGUCUAAAUGAAAUCGGCACAACCAACUUGAAAAGUUUCGGCUCUUAUGGCUAUUCGGCAAGGGUGAUGAAAAGAAAGGGAGUAGUAGUUUGGCUUUGGCAAAAGAAGAGAAAGAAAAAUGGGUGAAAGGAGUGGUGAUUUUGGCUAGAAAAAAAAAGGAAGAAAAGAAAAAUCCCUAUGAUGUUCAAACCAAAGAAAACGGCACCACUAAAGCCCCUAAUGCCGAAAUACUAACCUAAAACCUCUAAACCGAUUUAUCCUCCCAAAAUUCCCACUAUUCGGCCAACACUAAGCCUCCAUUCAAAUCCCCAAAAUCUCUCCCAUUAUCACUCCUAAAUCCAUGCAUUUGACUGAUUCAAACUCUCUCCAACAAAGUUCCAUUCGACUUCAACCUCUUGCAUGCUCAAGACAUAAAAAUAACAACACAAUUGCCAGCUUAGUGAAUCGAACCUUGGCUUUCCCCCAACUACGUACACGCCACUUUUUUUUAGCUCCUUAGUGGCAUCACUUAACCACUUUGCCAAGGGCCCUCUUGUGUCACAUUUUACCCACAUCUUUUAAUAAGGCCACCUAUCCAAUGCCUUUAACUCCUUAAGUACAAAAUACAAAAAUUCUACCGGGUUUUGGCCAACACAUGGGCCUUCCAUAGGCCCAUUUACACACUCCAAUUAUGAAUUUCCCAACCAAAAUCCAAAUUUUAAAAAUUUUACCAAAUUCUUCAAAAUUACGAAAAUCCCGAAAAUCAGGGUGUUACGACUCUACCCUCCUUAAAGAAAUUUCGGCCUCGAAAUUUUACCUGAUCCGAACAGUUGUGGGUAUUGUUGACGCAUUGCCUCCUCUGACUCCCAUGUAGCUUAUUCUUUGCUAUGGUUUCUCCAAAGUACCUUCACCAAUGGGACUAACUUUCUUCUCAACACCUUGACGUCACGAUCAAGUAUCUGCACAGCUUCUUCUUCGAAGGUCAAAUUCGACUGUACCUCAAUUUCUGCAACUGGUACGAUAUGAGUAGGGUCAGAACGAUAUCGCGUUAGCAUGGACACAUGAAAGAUGUCAUGAAUACGAUCCAGCUCUGGAGGUAACUCUAGCUGAUAAGCCACUGGCCCUAUCCGCUUAAGGAUCUGAUAAGGCCUAAUGAAUCGUGGACUCAACUUGCCCUUCUUACCAAACCUUAAUAUCUUCUUCCAAGGCGAAACCUUCAAAAAGACCAUGUCCCCUACAGUAUACUCAAUAUCCUUACGCUUCAGAUCAACAUAAGACUUUUGUCGAUCCGUUGCCUCCUUUAACCGAUUCCUGGUCACCUUAACUUUGUCUUCAAUAUCCACUACUAACUCCGGUCCAAGUACUUGCCUUUCCCCUAACUCUGCCCAACAAGUAGGCGAACAACACCUUCGCCCACACAGUGCCUCGUAAGGAGCCAUCUGAAUACUUGCUUGGUAACUAUUUUUAUACGCGAACUCCACCAACGGCAAGUAAUCCUCCCAACUGCCCCUAAAGUCGAUAAUACAACCCCUAAACAUAUCUUCUAGAAUCUGAAUGACCCUCUCUAACUGCUCAUCCGACUGAGGGUGAAAAGCCGUACUAGAAUCUGAAUGACCCUCUCUGACUGCUCAUCCCAAUGCCUCAUGCAAAUUCUGCCAAAACCGAGAUGUAAACCUUGGGUCUCGGUCAGAAAUUAUCGAUACUAGCACCCCAUGCAACUGCACUAUCUCUGCCACAUACAACUUGGCCAACCUCUGAAGUGAGUAAUCAGUUGGAACAGGUAUGAAAUGGGCAGAUUUCAUCAGCCUAUCCACAAUCACCCAAACUGAGACCUUCUUGGAAGGUGUCAAUGGCAGACCACUCACAAAAUCCAUAGUUACCCUUUCCCAUUUACAAAGUGGUAUCUUCACUGGCUGUGACAAUCCUAAAGGUAGUUGAUGCUCGGCCUUUACUUGUUGACACGUCAAACAUUUUCCCACAAAUUCGGUCACUUCUCACUUAAGCCCAGGCCACCAGUAUAGCUCUCGCAAGUCUCGAUACAACUUACUCCCUCCUGGAUACAUAGCACAAGGUCCACCAUAAGCCUCUCUCAAAAUCAUCAAUCUCAAAUCUGAGUCCUUCGGUAUACAAAUUCUUCCUCGAAAACAAAGAACCUCAUCAACAUUUAAUCCAAAGUCUGGAUUCUCCCCCUUCUCAGCUUGUUGAAACUGAGAAACCAACGACUCAUCCACCAACUACUGCUUCUUAAUCUGAUCCACCCAAGUCGGUCUCACUUGUAAUUUUUUUAAUAAGCUUCCAUCGUCAUACAAGCUUAAACGAGCAAACAUUGCCUUCAAUUCCGCCACAGUCCUUCGACUCAACGUAUCAGCCACGACAUUUGCCUUACCUGGAUGGUACUCAAUCGAACAGUCAUAGUCCUUUAACAACUCUAUCCACCUUCGCUGUCUAAGAUUCAGCUCCUUUUGACUCAACAAGUACUUAAGACUCUUAUGAUCCGUAUAGAUAAUGCAUCUCUCCCCAUACAAGUAGUGCCUCCAUAUCUUAAGCGCAAAGAUCGCCGCUGCCAACUCCAAGUCAUGAGUAGGAUAGUUUACCUCAUGAGGCUUAAGCUGUCGUGAAGCAUAAGCGACCACUUUACCCUUUUGCAUCAACACACAGCCCAAACCUACAUGUGACGCGUCACUGUACACAGUGAAAUCCUUACCAGACUCUGGCUAAAUCAACACUGGUGCCUCAUUCAGAACCUUCUUUAACUUUUCAAAAGCCUCUUGCUACUUAUUUGUCCAAACAAACGGUGCUCCUUUCCUUAUAAGUUUCGUUAACGGCGCUGCCAACACAGAAAAUCCUUCCACAAAUCUUCGGUAAUAACCUGCCAACCCUAGAAAACUUCAGAUUUCUGUUACUGACCUCGAUGGCUAACACUCCAGAAUCGCCUCAAUCUUCCGAAGGUCUACCUUGAUCCCCUCAACAGACACAACAUGCCCCAAGAAAGUUACUUCACUCAACCAAAACUCGCACUUACUGAACUUUGCAUAGAGUUGUUUUUCCCUUAGCACUUGCAGCGCAAUACGAAGAUGCUCAUCAUGCUUCUCUUUCAUUUCCGAGUACACUAAGAUAUCAUCGAUAAAAAUGACUACGAACUAAUCCAAGUACGGCUGAAAUACCCGAUUCAUCAAAUCCAUGAAUGCUACCGGUGCAUUAGUCAAACCAAAGGGUAUAACCAGAAACUCGUAAUGACCAUAUCGAGUUCUGAAUGCCGUCUUAUGAAUAUCCUCUUCUUUGACUCUUAACUGAUGAUAUCCUGACCGAAGGUCGAUCUCAGAAAAUACUGAAACUCCUCUCAGUUGGUUGAACAGAUCAUCGAUUCUUGGCAAAGGAUACUUGUUCUUGAUCGUCAGUUUGUUCAACUGCCGAUAAUCAAUACACAUUCACAUGGUCCCAUCUUUCUUCUUUACGAACAACACUAGUGCGCCCCACGGAGAAACAUUUGGUCUUACAAACCCUCUAUCCAACAGUUCUUGAAUCUGAGCUUUCAGUUCCACCAACUCCUUUGGUGCCAUUCGGUAAGGUGCAAUGGACACUGGAGUUGUUCCAGGUAACAAGUCGAUUCUAAACUCGACUUCUCUGUUCGGAGGUAGUCCAGGAAACUCAUCAGGAAAAACAUCUUGAAAUUCCUUGAUAGUCCUGACUGACUCCAUAGUCAUCCCCUUAGGUUUAGCUUGACUCACAAAUGCUAAAAAUGCCUCACAACCUUUCCAAAUCAACUUCUCAGCCCUUAAAGCCGAGACAACAUUGGACAAAUAGUUCCUUCGUUCCCCUAUGACCAUUAUCUCCUCAUCCUCGGCAAUUCUUAGCACCAUUCUCUUAACAGCACAAUCCAAUGCCGCCCUAUGCUUAGUUAUCCAGUCCAUUCCCAAAAUAAGAUCAAAUUCCCCAAAUGGCAGCUCCAUCAAAUCUCCUACAAAUAUCCUAUCUUGUGUCUCUAAAGGCACCUCCCUAAAGAGUUUAUCUACUUUAACCGAGUGUCUCAAAGGACUUAUCACUGAUACCCCACUCACAGUCUCCUCAGGAAGCACACCCAAUGGCCCAUAUACAUUACAAGCAACAUACAAAUGAGCGGAACCAACAUCAAUCAAAGCAGUGUAAGGUGUGCUAUGAAUGAAGAAUGUACCGGUUAUAACAUCAGGAGCAUCACCUUCCUCACGACGUUGUGCAGCAUAAACCAACGCCGACUGUCAAGCUUCAGCAUGUUCAGCACCCCUUCCAGGUGCCCCACGUCCUCGUCCAUUACCAUUACCACCUCUACCUUGCCCACGACCUCUCUGUGGUGGGGGUCUUCCUCACAGCGGUUGGACACCUCUUUGCUCCGCAACUUGUUCCUGAGCUACUUUCCGAAGACACUCUCUAAACUUAUGUUCCUUUGACCCACAUCGAUAACAUGCUCCAGUUCGUUUCCAGCACUCCCCCAUAUGUACUCUGCCACAGUCCCUGCAAGUCUGCGGUCUAAAGGUAUUCACCGAAACUGCUCGAGCCAGUUCCUCCAUUAUAGCUCUUUUAGCAUUUCUAUAUGCAGCACCCGAGGGUCCAGAAUCCCUCCUGAAUCUAGGUCGAUCCCUCUCACGAUUCUGCCAUUCAGUUUAUUUUACUUCCUCAGCUAUCUUUGCCUUCUCUACCAACGCAGCGAAAUCACGCUCCCUCUGUGGAGCUAUCAGCACCCUAAGCUCAUCACGGAGGCCAUCUUCAAAUCAAACACUGUGCUCAUAUUCGGUCGCAACUAUCCCGCUAGCAUAUCAACUCAACCUCAAGAAUUCCACCUCAUACUCCACAACAGUUUUAUUACCCUAGCCAGAUUCAAAAAUUCCUUUCGACGAGCAUCUACAUAACUAGCUCCAACACACCGCCCCUUAAAAGUAGUCUUAAACAGUUCCCAGGUUACUCGUUCAAUCGGGGUACUCUCCUUUACAGUGAUCCACCACUGGUAUGCCUCAUCUCGUAGCAACGACACGGCCCCCUUCAGCUUUUGCUCCACAGAGCAAUCUAGGUUGUCCAUAAUCCGCUCUGUUGCCUCUAGCCAAUAUUCAGCGACGUUUGGGGCUACUUCAGAUACGCCUCUAAAAACCUCUGCUCCGUUAGUCUGGAGUCACUCAGAGAUGGAUCCCCUAUUCACUGUCCCGGUGCUAGCUCCAGGAACCCUUUCCAAAACCCUUAACAUCGCUUGGGACAAAGUAUCAUCCCCCGCAGCUCGAUCAUGUGACCCAGUCUCAGUUGCCUGUGGCACGGAUGCCUCCUCAGCUGACCUAUGCCCUGAGAAAGAAGAUUCAGCUUGCACCCUUCUGUGACCACGUCCGCGGCCUCGUCCACGAGUCCCUCUUGUACUUAUAUCAAAUUUUCUGAUUACGAAUUUUAUGACAUUAAUUUAAUAUUUCAGUUGUUUAUUACGAGCUGUCUUAUGGAAAUACAGCAGUUCAGAGAUUGUUUUCACAACGUAGUAGCCUAGCUACAGUCUCAAUCCUACUGUUUUAUAGCUCUACCCUGUCUAAAGUAUCAUAGUAGGGUCUCAUUUCUAUCUAUAGCAUCAUAUCAAUAUCAUACGGUGUAAAAGAAAGUAUAUUUACAGACUUGGUGUCGGGGAUUCAGUGUGCCACUUCUUUCUCCAAACCAUUUAAAACUUAAAAACAUGUAUUUGGUCACAAAAAAAAGGGUUUCUUUCUAGAAAUUCUUAAAAAUUGAUUUAAAAUACCUUUGUUUUGAAAUACUUGAUUUUUAAACCCGUUUAAAAUCCACAGCCGAGUUGUUGCAACCUGACUCUGAUACCACUAAAUGUAAUACCCCAAACCCGGCCCAGAUGUUAUGGCCAGAUCUGACGUGUCACAUUAAAGUUUUUUAAGAAAGCCCAUGCGUCUUUCAACAUCCUUCUUAGAGUUUUAAAAGAUAGUCUUUGAUAAAUUGAUAAAGUGAAUGGAAGCUGUGCACCAGGUAGGUAUCCGUAACAGAGGAGGUGAGCCAUGAAGGCUGCUUAAGUACCAAGCUCUUGAUUGGAUCCAAUCCUAGACAUGCCCACAACCAUUUCCACACUUUGGCGCGAGGUUAGGUUUUGGAAAAAAAGGUCGAGUUGGAAUUCAUUUAAGCAGAUAUUUUUGAUAAACCGAUUACUUGUAUCAUUGCGCUAUUUUGAAAACAAGUAUCACUUUGAAAACGCGCCCUAAGUCUAACCUAUUUUGGAUAAUUAUCAGUAAAAUACAGAGUAUAUAAUAAAAUAAAAUAAUCCCAAAAAAAUAAUUAAAACGGCCUUAUUGCAACCCAAAACCGAAUAAUAAUAAUAAUUAGGAUAAGACUUAUUAAAAAAACUAGUUACUUAUUGCAAAGUUCGGAAGCGAUCACCACGGCCACUCUGAAUCCCCUCCGGCUCCAAGUCUCCACAUCAAGGCUCACCUACAAGGUUAAGGAAAGGGGUGAAUUUGGAAACUCAGUGUGCAACAACCCCUUUCAGAGCCCAAACUAAUAUCAGCAUACUGGGCCAAAGCCCUAAUUCAGUCUCGUCAUAUACUGGGCCGAAGCCUUUCGUUUAACGGUUACUGGGCUGAAGCCUUUUCAUAAAUCAUACCACUGGGUCGAAGCCUUUACUGUAAACAGUAUGGCCCAUAGGCUUAUUUCAAUAUCACAUGAAAUACCAAUGAAUGUAUGCAAGCCCAUUUGGGGAGACUACUCAACCAACCAUCUGCUACUUUCCACCCGUACCAACCAAGCUCUCCAUGUGGGGAAUAACUCAACCCACCCAACCAAACUCUCCACUGGCAGCAUAGCUGCUUUAUCAUUAACUGAAGGCCUAGCCUCUUUUAAUAACUGGGGCAAAGCCCUUUUUGGUAAACUGGGGAAAAGCCCUUUUCGCACUACCUCCAUUUAUAUAAAGCCCAACCCAUGCAUAUAAUGAGUAUAUCAUGGCAUAUCAUGUGCAUCUCAUGACAUAUCAUGUGCAUACCAUGUCAAAUCAUGUAUAACAAUAUCUCAUGCUUCAUAUUCAUAAUUAAACCCUAAGGGGUAUAAUAGUCAUUUUUACCUAGGGCAAAAUAGUCAUUUUUCAUAUUAUAAGGAUAAUUUCGUAAUUUUACCAAAUAUUAUGGGUUUCCCAUGUUCAUUAACGAUUAUCAAUAUUUCUAAGUGUUUAAAUAAUGAUCUUUAACCCACUUAUCAAAUUCAGGCUUUUGGGCCCAAAACCCUUAAUGGGCCCUACGAAUGCCGAUUUUAGCCCAUUAAGUCCACUUAACCCAAAUUUUACAAUAGUACUAACCGUGUUAACAUGAAACUUUUCCAAAUUCCAUUUUCUAUCAAUUUUACACAAAUGGCCCAAAAGCCCAUUGGGCCUAGUUCCAGCCCAUCGAUGCCCAACUUGCCAUCGUGUACAAAAUUGUUCUCUUACCUGUUCCAUCGAUCCAAACACCGAUCAUAUCGUAUUUAUCGCAUCUAUAACCAAAUACAAAAUCACAAGUUCCUGAAAUGCCGAAAUUUUAGCAUUUCGACUUUUCAGCGAAUAUUAUUCUAAGCUACUACGAGGGUUAUUACACACCUGUUUUGUGACGUUUGCUAACAAGGUCUCCCACGACAACCUACAAUUAAUCAUCACCAUUCUUAGUUUACAAUUCAUACUUAUCAAACCCAAAAUCCACCUUACCAUAGUCGGCUAAAGAACCCCUAAUAGCCAUAGAUCACUUACCUACACAGGGUCCGAUGAUUCGAUCCAAGUUUAUCCAAACCGAUACUCCAAGCCUUGCUGCUCCUCCAAAGUUGUGUAUUUCACUACACAAACCAUAAAAAUCAAAUGAAAGGGCCCAGUAAGGCCUAUACCUCAAAUCGACAACCUCUUUAAACUAUAGGAGGUUUCAACUUUUCUUAACAUUUACACUACUUAAUCGAUUUGGAAAAUGAGUACUUACCACAGUCUUCCCUUCUGCACUGUUUAGAAUCAAAGUAAACUUAGCCCUCAACCACCUAGCAGCCUUCGAACCCUAGAGGUCUACAGGUUAAGCUAUGCCCCUAGAACUAAGGUAUUUUGGCUUUUAAGACCAAGCAAAAGGAAAAGAAAUGGUGUGGUGGCUUUGUAUUGGUGUUGCCGUUGGAGACUUUUAGAGUUUAGUGGAUGAAGGGGUCGGUCACAACAAACGAAGAGCAAAGAAUGAUGCUGGUCUAAAUGAAAUUGGUACAACCAACUUCAAAAGUUUCGGCUCUUGUGGCUAUUUGGCAAGGGUGAUGAAAAGAAAGGGAGUAGUAGUUUGGCUUUGGCAAAAGAAGAGAAAGAAAAAUGGGUGAAAGGAGUGGUGAUUUCGACUAGAGAAAAAAAAGAAAGAAAAGAAAAAGCCCUAUGAUGUUCAAACCAAAGAAAACGACACCACUAAAGCCCCUAAUGCCGAAAUACUAACCUAAAACCCAUAAACCUAUUUCUCCUCCCUAAAUUCCCACUAUUCGGCCAACACUAAGCCUCCAUUCAAAUCCCUAAAAUCUCUCCCCUUAUCACUUCUAAUUCCAUGCAUUUGACUGAUUCAAACUCUCUCCAACAGAGUUCCAUUCGACUUCAACCUCUUGCAUGCUCAAGACAUAAAAAUAACAACACAAUUGCCAGCUUAGUGAAUCGAACCUUGGCUUUCCCCCAACCACGUACACGCCACUUUUUUUUAGCUCCUUAGUGGCGUCAAUUACCUACUUUGCCAGGGGCUCUCUUGUGUCACAUUUUACCCACAUCUUUUAAUAAGGCCACCUAUCCAAUGCCCCUAAAUCUUUAAGUCCAAAAUUCAAAAAUUCUACCAGGUUUUAGCCAACACAUGGGCCUUCCAUAGGGCCAUUUACACACUCCAAUUAUGAAUUUCCCAACCAAAAACCAAAUUUUAAAAAUUUUACCAAAUUCUCAAAAAUUACGAAAAUCUCAAAAACCAGGGUGUUACACUAGUGGAUUGCUUUCGGGAUACAUUCGUACCUAUGUCUUCGUGAGAUUUUCAUCUCCAUAUGGCCAUAGGGAAAUGCAUUCCCCUGAAUCAAACCCGAUUCUUAUUAGCCUAUAAUGGGUGAGGAUUAAGGAAUCUAUUGGUUCAAGUACCCUUUCCUUAGAAUCGAACCACAUAUAGAAAGACAGGAGCCUACCCUAGGUAGAGCCACGCCAAAUCUUAGGUCACCGAGUUAGGUGUUCUAUAUUGUUUUUUCUCUUUUCUGUACUAACGUGUUUUGUUUUGUCUAUGAUUGCAUUGCAUUACAACAUCAUAGAAAGAAUGUGUUGAUUCAUAUUCGAUUGCUAAAUAAAAGAGCUUGUCAUGGAAAUGGAUUUCUUGAUAAAGUCGAUUAUAAUACGGUUGUCUGAAUAUGGUCUAAGUAAACACAAUGAAAAAAGGCUAAUAGUUCGUGGAAGAAAACAAGACUUUGUUUUAUCACCGUAGAUUCAAGUCGAUAAAGAUUAUUCGAGAGCCAUCACAUCUUGACUUUUUUAAAGGAGCUAACAAGCAUCGUGAGGAUAAGUGAGUAAUAAGUCACAGCCUGGAUCAAGCAAAAAGGAAAAUGAGGACAUCUUUUGGAAAAUUCGUAAGAUUCAACCAUAACAUCCGGAUAUAAAGAGAAGAGCGUGUCUUCGCCUGGACUAUAAGGGCAAUGCCAUAUAUGUAAUCCAUUUUAUGUAAAGAGAUUUAUUUUCUAGAAAAGUUGUUCUAAUGGAAUUGAAUUUAGAAUCAACGUAUCUCUUUUUUUGCAUUCAUUCCAUGCAUCUGCAUUGCAUUGCAUCAUUUUCAUUAAACUUUCACAAAAGGACCUUAAUUAGGUAAAAUAAUUUCAGUUAACCUGGGAACCGAAAAAAGUCAAGCGACUAAGCAUCUUUACGGUACAUGGAAAAGGACCAAAUAUAUGGAUCAAAGGUUUGAAAGACUCGAACAACUUCAAAAAGAAAUGCAAGACAAGUUACAAAUGCAAAUGCAAGAGCAGCUUGCUAAGGUCCAACAAGACAUGAUAGACGAAAUGCUGGCGUCCCAAAGGAAUAUGAUGAAUUAGUUGUCCCAAUUGUUGACUAAGGGGCUAGAAAAGGGAAAAAGCUUCAUGAUUAAUACUGGGAAGGACAAUGAGGAGCCUCUCUACCCUUCAGGUUUCACCCCGACAAAUGCUCAGACAUGUCUGCAGGGUUUACCUAUUGCUGUCAGAUCUCAGCAAUAUCAGGCCAAUAUCUCGGCACUAGUGAAUUACCCAAUAGGCUCAAGCUUCAAUCCAGGGGGCAAUCCAACCACUCCCCUAGUUCCUGACCUAGAUGACAUGAAAAAAGCAAAGAUAGAACUGCCAAAACAACUCGAGGAUCGGUAUAGGUGGUUGGAGGAAAAAGUUAAGGCAAUGGAGAAUGUUGACUACUAUUGUGGGGUUGGCACCAAGGAUCUGAUUUUAGUCCCCGAUCUAGUAUUCCCGCCAAAAUUUAAGACUUUAGAGUUUGAAAAGUACAAUGGGACUAAUUAUCCUGAAGCUCACAUCAAAAUGUUCUGUCGAAGAAUGACAGGAUAUGUCAAUAACGACCAACUAUUAAUCCAUUGCUUCCAAGGCAGUCUAAUCGUGUCAGCAGCUAAAUGGUACAAUCAAUUGAGUCGUGCUAAAAUCAGUUCAUGGAAGGACUUAGCACAAGUUUUUAUGAAGCAGUAUAGCCAUGUAACGGACAUGGUACCCGACAGAAUUACCCUACAGAAUAUGGAAAAUAAGCAAAAUAAGAGCUUCAAGUAGUAUGCCUAAAGAUGGAGAGGGGUAGCAACACAGGUCCAGCCGUCUCUUCUGGAAAAGGAGACCACGAUGCUUUUCAUCAAUACUCUGAAGGCCCCGUUCAUUAACCAUAUGUUGGGAAGCGCUACUCUAAGCUUUUCAGAUAUAGUAAUGUCAGGUGAGAUGAUUGAAAAUGCGGUAAGAAGUGGGAGGAUAGAUGUUGGAGAAAACACUAAAAGGUUAACCCUGAGAAACAAAGAAAAUAAAGUUAGUAUCGUGAGCAUGCCUUCCAAAUUGGUUAACAUAGGCCAGUCGAGGGCUGUACUAGCUAUCAAGGCUCUUCAAGGCAGGAAUCCAACUCGAGGCCAAGUACAGAAAGGCUCCGGUUUACACCCAUCCCGAUGUCAUAUAAGAAGUUGUAUCAGAAUAUUUUUUAUGUGCAUAUGGUGUCUCUGUUCUAUUCAGAACCCGUGCAAUCUUUAUUCCCAAAAUGGUAUAAUGAGAAUGCUCAAUGCGAGUACCAUGCGGGAAUAAAGGGACACUCAAUCAAAAACUGCACUACAUUUAAAAAGUUGGUCGAAAGGUUCAUUGAAAUGGGAAUUGUGGAGUUUGACGAUUCCUUAGAACCUAAUUGUUCUGACAAUGCAGUAAAUGAAAUAUUUGAAGGUGGGGGCAAAAGAGUUGCGAUGCCUUGAACAAGUCAAAAACCUGGAGGGAACCAAAGAAUAAAAGUUUCCAAACCCUUGCAUACUUGGGAGUGUUUUGAACGAUGGGACUAUGGAAGAGAUUCUUGUAUUUUUUUAGAGCUAAUCUAGAGUAAUAUUCAAAGCAUGCUUGUUGCUUUAAGCCUAGAGGCAAUAAGAAUCCUUUUGUGAAAUAGGCUUGUCUCCAGAAUUUUUAUUUCAAUAAAAUGCAUCUUCUUGAGAAAAUGUUCUUUCUUUCUUUCCAUUUCAUAGUAUACAUUCUUUUGUUCUUUCGUAGGCCAAAAAUAAUUUUUUUAAUAAAAUAAAAUGUUUUAUUAGGUGAUCUGAUCACACCUAAACAAAAAGGAUUGGUGGCGACUCCAUACCAUAUUUUGAAGUCGAUCCCAAUUUUUUUCAAAAUUAAAAAAAAAAUGGUUUUGACACUAAGUAUAAUUAAAUUGAUAAUAAUACGAUGUUCUGGAUGUUGGGAAGAAAAAUAGUUCCAUUUGAACCUUGAGAAUACUUAUGAUACAAAUGACAUGUCAUUAGGGAUUAUACGGUUUUGGGUGCUGGUCUUGGAUGUCCUACUGAUGGCUGAGGUCCUACAUUUGUUGCGGAUUCUCCACAGCUUGUGUAAGCAACAUCCUGAAGUCAACAUCCCAACUCAUUUCCAAGCUCGUGUGAGCAAUAUUAAAAAGGUUACAAUUACAUGAAAAGUCACACUUUGUGCGGGUAUUUCCCGAGUAUCCAGUGUUGUUGAAUAUGGUUCAUCGGCCAAUUUAGGUGAAAUGGAAAGGUACGUAUAUGAAAUAAGCUAUAAUGUUGAGUAUAUGAAAUGAGCUAUGAUGUUGAAUAUAUAAAUGGAUAGUAUGAUAUGUGCAAUUAUAUUGUAAAGGGAAUCAAAUGAAUAUGUGGUAGAUGAUUUGUAUAUUGAGAUUAUUUCAUGAAAUGUUCCAUGAAUUGGGUGAAACUAUAUGCUCAUUAUAUACCCACUAACCUUGUAGAGUUGUGUGUAUAAGAUGGAAUGUAUGCACUUGUAUAAUGAUUGAAUGGUUAAAAAUAACAUAUGUGGUAAGUUUAAGUUCACAUUAUACGAACUUACUAAGUAGUAGUUGCUUAUGUAGUUAUUUUCUCUAUUUUGUAGAUCAUCGGAAGCUUGAUAAGUUGGAAUCUUGUCGGAUCUCUAUCACAUUAUCCUUCAACCACUUUGAUAGUUUUGGUUGUUUUGGCUAUGGUUAUAAAUGGCAUGUAUAGAGCUUAUAUGUAAUAGAAGUUUUGAUUUAUGCUAUUUGUCCAAUGUGAUAUGCUUAUGUGUUGUAUAUAUGUUUUGUUUUGACUUGUAAAUGCAUAGGCAUGUUUAUGUCUUUUGGUCACUUUUAAAUGUAUUGUAAAUAUAUGGCUUAUGACUUAUUCAUAUAUGGUUGAAGCCAUUCAAUAAUGUGUGAAUAUGGUGAUGUAUGUUUAGGUUAUAAUGUAGCUUUCAAUAAAUUGAAUUGAUGUGUGAUUUGAGUGCCUUUUGAUGGCAUAUUGGUUUGUUAUAGGAUGAGUGAAUAUCUAACAUGUUUUUGAUGUUUUGUAUGUUUUAAACAUGUGAAUGUUGGUAGAAUUGGUCUAUCUUGCUAUGUAAGAAUUGGUUUUAACAUGGCUUGCUUUAAGGGCAAUUUAUGUUGCACACGGCCUGGGGCACAGGUUAUCACACAGCUAUGUGUGCCCCACAUGGUCGUGUGUCAUUAUUGUUUUUAGGUGCAUGUUUCACACGAUUUAAGACACGGCAUGCGACAUGAUCGUGUGUCUCAAGUUAGUAUGUAACACUAUUUGGCACACGAACUACGACAUAACCGUAUGGGCCUAUUUCGAAUACCCACAUGGGUGGACACACAGGCUGGGACAUGGCCGUGUGUCCAAAUUUCAAAUGUCCACAUGAUCUUGGCUAUGUCACACUGGCCACACGACCAUGUGACCCUUAUUUUCCCAAAAUUUUCUAUUUUGUUUUAAAUUGAUCCCUGAUUGUUUCCAAGUUGUUUUAAGGCCCCGAAGACUCGGUUUAAUGCCCAAUAAUGUAUUUUACUAUGGUUAUAUUGAGCUAUUGGAUGUUGGUAUUAAUUUGCAUUUUUUUUGUUUUGAAGUUAAACAUCCUAUUUUGUAUGGUAAUGCUUCGUAACCCUAGUUCGGUGACAGAUACGGGUUAUGGGUGUUACAAUUCGGCAGCAAAAGAAGUCUUGAAAUAGGUUAUUCCUUAAAAUCAUGAUAAUUGGUUUUUUCACUUCCAAACAUCUCAGAUUGGUUAAUUUCUAAUCUACAAUCUUCUGAGCUAUUUGAUUCCUUAGAAGUUAGCUGGGUAAGCCUAUUUGGUCUUAUAGCGUGGAGGAUUUGGAAGAAUAGAAACCUUUAUGUUCUCCAAGGACUAACGUGGGAAGUGGCUAAUAUUAUUAAAGUUUAUAUCACAUGGGCAAAAUAAUUUUAGAUUACACAUAAUAAAAUUAUGAAUCGAAGACGUACUACUACUCCAAGGAACUCUCUUCCGGAUAAUCAUAUUUAUUUGCAUACAAAUUAAGCUAUUAAUUUGAGUACAGGUUAUGCAUUUGCAGAUACGGAAUCAUCAAGGGAAUUGGAUUUUGGACUUUAACCAAUCUCUGGAGAUGUGUUCGGGUUUUGAUGCUAAGCUAUAAGAUAUUUUCGAUGGGUUUAUUCUUCUACAAGAUCGAGGUUUGAAUAGAAUAUUGAUUCACACUGAUAGCCUUGAGGUUUUUCAUGCAUUGUAAAAGAGUAUUACAACUAGUUCGGGCUCAGCAAUGAUUAGGUGGAUCCAACAUAAGCUACAAAGUUUUGACUGUUGAGAGAUCAGGUGUAACACCUCAAACCCGGCUUAGACAUUGUGGCCAAACUUGAGAGUGUAAUGAAGAAGGGUUUUGAAACCAAUGAUAUUUCGAUAAAACAUCCAAGUUUAAAACAUAUUCAUUUAUAUAAUUAUUAUUGAAACAGUUAUAUGUUAUCCUUUCAGGUUAACCAAAUCAUUUAGCAACGAAAGUUUGAAAAAUCAUUUAAAACAAAACCAUGCUCGUAUUUUUAAAAUUUAACAUUUGUUCACGUGAAAUCUGUGUUUUGUUGAGUCAUCGCAGUUUUAGAAAUCAUAACGCAACUAAACCAAAAUUUUAAACCAAACAGUCCAAAAAGUCGGAAGAGUCCAAAAAUUACAAAACUCUCAUGAAAGCCAGAAAUUUUAGUAAAAACCAUUAAAUAAUAAUGAAAAUAGUUCCCCGUCAAGUGGGUCACCACUAAGCCUCCAUCGUACCAACCUGCCAAUGUCUGUGGAUUACCUAAACAGAACAGACAAAACGAUGUGAGUUUACGAAAACUCAGCAUAACCCAAUAGAAAUAGUCAUGCAACAUACACAAUAUUCCAUAUAUAGUUAGAUACAGAUUCGGAUCUAAGUCCAUAAUAGAUACAGAUAUCAGAAUCAGAUAAAUAGAACAGAUAUACAGAAUCCUACCCCCAUCCUCUAAACACCAGCUCCCGACCAUCCCAUCACACAAUGUGGGGUUAAAAAUACCUACCCAUCCCUACACACCAUAUAGUGUCGAUGCGACACAUCACAGAUAAUAUACAAUCAAGUUGUCAGGUUAUAGGCGAAAGGUCGUCGUACAGAUCACUUCCUCCACAUAUACAAUUCCCAACCCAAACAUAGAUACAAAAUACAAAAUUAACAGAAUUAACAUGCUUGUAUACAAAUAACAUAUAUAUAUACUCAAACAGAAUAGUCAUACAAACAUAUCAGUGUUCUGCUCAAAUCAGACUAUUAGAACAUCAGAUCUCAUGUAUUAGGGUUUAGUUAGCCCUUACCAACCCUACGGUAGGCCCACAGUCGAUGGGAAUGACCCGUACAACCCUAGGGAAAAUUUCAAAAUUCUGGGCCUACAUGCCCGUAUGGCCUGCCUGUGUGGGGCCACACGCCCGUGUUGCCCACAUGCCAAUCUGGCUUAGUUACAUGCUCGUGUCCUGCGCACAGCCACGCCUUCGUCAGACACACGAUCGUGUCUCGCACACGGCCAACCAUAUGGUCGGCCAAACGCCCGUGUGGUGUCAACAGAUUGCAUUUUUGGCUUCGUUGAAGUUCAAUUUUUUAUGUUAAGAGUACACAUCUGGUAUGGUUUUGACGCUACAGCACACCCGAGCCCACCAGAACCUAAAGAUAGCAUUUCAACGACCUAUUAGCAACCAAUUUAUGAUUUCACAAAACUAAACUGAGAAAUGCUCAUAAACUUACCAUCAUAAAAUCGACCACACGCAAUAAACUAAAUUGUUGGAGCGAAAAUCACUGCUUCACCACCUUCUCCUACACAAUAAUCCGUAGAAAUCAGAUUCUCUACAAUCAAUGUUAAGCUAUUACAACGAAAAAGAAUUGAAAAGCUUACCAAAACCGCACGAAGAACAGAAAAGUGAACAAUUAUUGAAGGGAAUGGAAGAAAAAUAAACAAGGAAACAGUGGAGGAACAAAAAGAUGAAAUGAUAGAAAAAUGAAGAGGUAGAAACUGACGUCAAAUUUUGGGAAGAGAGAGAAAAAUUAUAAAAAUAAACUAAAAUAAUAAUAAUAAAUUAAUAUCAUAACUCCCCAUAACAACUACAUCCAACUACUUCAGACUCCCAACUCCACCGAGCCUCUAACAGCCAACCGAAACAAAAAUUAUCACCUACACUCAUGUAGGGAUUCGAAUACAAGACCUCCAACGCACUAACUCCUUACCACUCAAACUAGCAAGCUCAUUCUAAUAUAAUUUUACAAACAAUUUUAUAUAAGCCCACCCACCACGGAUAAUGCUUGAAUAAAAAAUAACAAAAUUUUCGAAAAUGGGACUUAAACCCAAGACCUCAUACACACCCUUAGAACACUUAACUAUUAAAGCAAAUACACAUUUAUAUUAGAUUUCACAAAAAACAGGCUUAAAUUAUUCAAGACGUUACAUCAGGCAUGUUCCAAGGGAAGCCAAUUUAGUCGCAGGUCGGAUUGCCAAGGUUGUGCCUGUGGAGAUAAAGGGAGUUAACAUUUUGGUAUCUGCUCCUACAGAUCUUUUAGUGUUUCUUGGAAGUGACAAAGUUAAUGCUACUUUUGAUUGUUUCAGUGUAGUAUAAUCAUUUAAGUUUUGUUUCUUAUCACAAAAAGAAAAAAAAAGAGUUAAUUGCACCAUACUUUUGCAAAGACUCUGAUUUAAAUUGGUCCUUAAACUUUAAAAUAUUUUAAUUAUAUCUUAAAGUAUCAAUGCUAUAUUAAUUAGGUCUUUUUGUUAUUAAAGUCGUUAAAUGACAUGAAAAUCUUCUAUAGCUAAAUUAAUAAUAAAAAUUUUAAAGAAAUAAAAUGUUGUCACAUAAUUUCUAAAAGAAAAUAAAAAUAAAUUAAAACUAAAAAAACUGAACACUAAAACUUCUACAAAAGCUUCAAAAAUAUCAAAACUAAGAUUUUUAAAAUAUCUAUUUUUACAAUGUUCAUUUAAAAUUUUCAUUUUAAAUCAUGACACAUAAGAUACGAUGUUAAAUUAAUAAUUUUAGUAACGAAAGGAUAUAAUUGAUAUAACCUCGAUAAUUUAAAAAUGUAAUUAAAAUAAUUUAAAGAUUAAAGACUAAUUUAAAAUGAAGGUGUAUAGUUUAAGAAUGUUGGAUGUAAUUAAAAUGAAUACUUUUUAAAUUAAUAUGGAGAAGUUAAUUUAGUGGUAACUGGAAAAAAAAAGCUGCAUGAGAGCUAAUAAGUAAGUUUUCUUUUUUAUUUUAAAUGCGUUUAGUGAAUUGGUGUUAUUUAAUUUAUAUUAUCAGUUUAAUUAAGAAUUUUAUAAAUAAUAUAGACAUGUGUAUCAAUUACUAAAAUUUUUAUUUUUCAUUGUAUGAUAUUUUUAAAGAAAAAAGUGUUUUCUUAAAUGAUGUUGUAACAUAAGAAUAAGAAGAAAUUAUUGAUGUUAAAAUUUGAGCCUUAUGAUCUAUUAAAAUAAAAUUUGGAUCUAACCCAAAACAGUAAUUUUUUUUUUUCAAAUAUGAUAAGCGGAUUAGAUUAGAACUUGCUUGAUGUCAGUAAAUUACUUUUCAAAAUAGUCACGAACUUUAAGUCAAAAUAUGACCACUUAUAAAAUAUAUGUUCCCAUCAUCAUAAUAUGUUUGAUUUUGCCUUUUACCUGGCUAAUUGGAAUAUAUACAUAUAUAUAUCUAUAUAUAUAUGCUAAUUGUCACUAUCUUUUCAAGCAUAUAUUCAGCUGGCCGAUCAAUUAUAGAGGAAUAUAUGUUUUGUUAGCAUCCUCGCUAUUUCAGAAUUAUGUAUUAAAGUGAGAUUUAAUAACUACGAGAUUUAUGAUACACUUUCUACUCAGAAUGUAAAUGAAAAAGAAAAUUAUUUAAUAAAUAUAUUUAUUAAAAAUUCACAUAAAAAUCAGCUGAUAUUUUGAUUAUAAUUGUGAAAUUAAUUGUUUACUAUGCAUGAAUUUAGAGCUGUCUAAGAGUUGGGUUAUCCGUCCGAAUCCAAAGACUUGAUCAAAAUAUGGGAGAAUUUGGACAAGUAAAUAAAAUCCCAAAAAUGUGCUUGGGAAAAUUUAUAGGCUUAUUUUCUACUCAAAUCGGGUUUCAAGUAGAGUUUUUAAAUCGAACUUGGCUCAACUCGAAUACAUAUAUUGAUUCUAUUCCUUUGCCGGGUAUGGAAGAUUUGAAGGUGCACGAUUACCUAGUAAGACUGGGGAUGUCUGUGAUAAUUUGAUGGCAGACACAUUUGUAUGAUCCCGAUAAUUGUGCAGAAAGGUCCGGAUAAAAUGAUUUGGCAUCGGUCUAGUAAGGAUUAUAUUUGGUGAAAUCAGAAUACAAGUUAGCCUCUGAUUUGUAUUCCAAUUCUGUUUGGAAUGAAAGUGAUGGUCCUUGAUUGAAGAUUUGGAAUGGCCAUUUCCCACCGAAGGUCAAGGAUUUUACUUAGAGGUGUCUCAGAAACUUUAUUCCUACCAAGGCAAGGUUAAUUGAUAAAGGUUUAAAUGUGCCUUCGAUUUGUAUCCGAUGUGGAGAGGUGGAAAUGCUUGAUCAUGUUUUUAUUUCUUGUGCGUUCACUCGGGUGUUCUGGCAAUAUUCCGGACUUCCAUAUCCGCAUCUUGAUGUUCUCCAUUUUAUUCGCACUUUGCUUGAGUCAGUUGAUGUUAAUAUAGUUUACCAGGCUCUUACUAUUUUGUGAAGCAUUUGGUUCCAUCGUAACUUGUGAUUUUGGAAGGGUGAGGUGUUUUCCUCGUAGUGUGUUGUCGAUUUUGCUGACAAUUUUCAUUGGCAAAGGUUGGAGGCUCAGUCUGUUUUGGUAUAACUCUACCAUUAGAGCAUCCGACUACCUCCACGGCUCAUUGGUGGAAGCGACCUGCUGUUGGUAUCUUAAAAUGCAAUGUUGAUGGAGCUUUAUUUCAAGAUGAGCAUUAUUCCAGCUUUGCGGCAAUCGUUCGGGAUCAAACUAGUGCUGUUAUUAAAGGUUUGGUUGUUGGGACCCCGCAUUAUUGAUAUUUUUGCUAUUCGAGAAGCAUUAUCUUGGCUUUGCGCUAAUAGAUUUUAUCAUGUUGUGAUCGAGUUAAACUACCAGCCAAAAGUUGAUGUAUCUAAAUUUGGUAUCCUUGUUCAGGAUUAUAUUUAUCUCAGUUUGUUCUUCUUUGAUUUCUCUUGUCUUUAUCUAUCAUAAGUUCGCUAGGGGUUUUAUCUUAUUCAUCUUUUCAUGAUUUCACUGUUCGAUCGGUUUAAUGUUAUCUUUCUUAUUCUUAGUAGUAAUAUUAUUUCAAACACUCAUUUGGAUGAGACGCAUAGGUCUGAGUGUAUGAGGUAAACCUAUUAGCUUGGGUCUUUAGUUGUCUCACUCAUGUGCUGUUCUUGUUUUCCUUCUCUAUUUUAAUAUAGCAAUUUUUUCUUCUAAACAAAUUAUAUAAAACCAACCUAAAUCCAAAUAUUAUUUAUUUCAAAAUCUAAACCCAUCCUUAAAAAUAAAUAAAUAAAUAAACCAAACUUCUGUUGACAAAGCGUUAAAUAAGUCAAUGAAUUGAAAAUCAAUACUUUCAGCAGCUUUAUUUUUUAAAAAUAUUUAAUAACUCACAACGAAAUUAAUUAGGUAGAAUAUUUUUCCAUAAAAAAGUGUGGAAAAUGAUAAAUAGAUAAGGACUUACUUAUAACUUAAUAGAAAAUUAAUUUAAUUGUUUUCUUUAUUCUAUUUCAUUUAAGAUUAUAUUAUCCUUUAUCAAACAAUUUAAUUAUAAUCGGUUUUUAAUUUUAAGUAAUACACCAAACAAAUUUUAUAAAUUAAAUUUAACAUUCAAUUUUUCAAUACUUAUUUUUACAACAAUUAAAUUGAAUACUUAUUUUACAACAAUUAAUUUUUCGUUAAGUUCCAAUAGUAGUACAUCAACUCUCAACCGAAUAAGACAAAUUAUGGAAUAAUGCUUUACUAAAAAGAAAAUCGUUGAUUGGACUUACUCUAGCAACAGUUCCACUGGCAACAAAAGGAGCUUCAAAUUUCAUCCUACACUUGGCUUGUAUUCAUCUCAUUGCAAGUUUACUGCUAUUCAAAAUUUAUGCAUUGUUUUUCUAAUUUGGAAAUGUCAAAAUCAUAUGCAAUUUUAGUUGAACUUUUAUGAAUUGUUUUUUUUUAAAAAAACAAAAAACUGGAAUGGCAGUAUCUUUAAAUAAUCAUUUUUCUAUAUUUAUUUAUGAAUUAUCAAAAAUAAAUAUUUGUAAUUACAUUACAAUUUGAAAAAAAUUCUAAUUUUAAUUUGGUCAGGCUUGGACAAAAUUUUAAGUCCAUAUUUUAGAUUAGCUUAGAUUUGAGCAAAGAUAAUAUCUAAAAACCCUCUUGUCUAGGUUUGGACCAACCGGGCUCAACCAGCCUAUUAACACCUCUAUACAUGAUGUUUUGGGUUCAAAUAUUAUUAUAAUCAAAUUUUUAUUGAUUUAUUAUAUGUAAAAGAGAUAAAAAAUUCUUAUAAAAAUAUUAAAAAAUAUAUUCUUAUAAAAAUAUAAUCUAAUUCGUCUAUAAGAAAAUAUUUUAAUAAAUUUAAAAUUAAAUUGAUGUUUAAUUUAAUCAUAACACCAACACAUUAAAACACAUAAAAGUAAGUAGGAUAUAAAUUAACUGGGCAGUGUUGAAUGCCUCGUGGUACGGAAAACAUGGCCAAAAAACAGCAUACUAAUCUCUAAGAAUUUUGGAUCCAUUAUUCUAUCCCAUUGAAUUUGGAAUUUCCAACCAAGUUUGUGAUUCUUUAUUCCGUCUCAACUAUGGAUUGAAUAUAUACGGGUCAUCAUCCUCCUAUUUUCGCCUUUUCUUCUAUGACUUCCUUUAUGUCUUUUUCAUGUUUCAAAGGUAGAAUUUAUGCAUGUAUUUGGCCAUUUGCCAAUAAUUGCACUUUCACGAAACUAGUAGUGUAUUGGUGUUGGCAGUAUACUCAAAGUUUUAUUAUUAUUUUGGUAUCCAAUCGCGUUGAAAUUAGGGUAAAUUAUUAAAAUAGUCACUUUUAUUUGCCUCAAGUUACAUUUUAGUUACUUAUGUUACAAAUGUUACGUUUUAGUCACUUAUAUUAUCGUGUUAUAACAUUUUAAUCAUUGAGUUGUUAAUUACCAUUAACGGUGUAACGGUAAGCUGACAUGACAUAUUAAAUCAUCAUUUUAAAUGAAAAUUUUAAGUUAAAAUUUUACAAUUGGUCUCUAUAUUUUUUCAUCUUAAACAAUUUAAUUUUUUCUCUUUUAUGUUCUUUUAACUUUCUUUAUUUUCUUUAUUUUCCUUUCUCUUUUGCUUCUCCCUAUAUUUUCCUCCCUUAUUCAUUUCUUUUAACAUAGUUUUUCUAUGUUUUCCAUUUGUUAAAAUUAGUCCACAAGCUCGCCUCAAUAAAAAAAUUAAAUUGUUCCAAAAAGUAAAAGUAUAGGGACUAGUUUUAACAAAUGAAAAACAUAGAAAAACUAUGUUAAAAGAAAUGGAGAAGGGAAGAAAACAGAGGGAGAAGCAGAAGAGAAUGAAAAAAAAAGAAAGUUAAAAAAACAUAAAAGAAAAAAAUUAAAUUGCUCAAAACAAAAAAUAUGGGGACUGAUUGUAUAAAUUAACCUAAAUUUAUUGUUUAAAAUGAUGAUUUAACGUGUCAUCAGCUUACCAUUACACUGCUAGUAAUAAUUAAUGGCUCAGUAACUAAAAUGUUACAACGCGAUAACGUAAGUGGUUAAAACACAACAUUUCAAACAUAAAUGACUAAAAUGUAACUUGAGGUAAACAAAAGUGACUAUUUUGGUAGUUUACUCUUAAAAUUAUGUUAUAGGCCAGAUUGGAGGACUUCCACUACUACAUUGGAAAACCAAAUGAAUGACCUUGAAAUUAAGAUGCAAUUUGACCCAAUGGACAUUCUUGUUCUGGAGGGACUUCUCUCAAGUUAUAGGGUGUAUAGGAAGGAGGAGCUUGCAUGGCUUCAAAAAACGAGUAAAGAAGAAUUAACAAAAUUUAGCAUUUAUAGGUGCAAAAUAUAAAAUUAGUUUUCCAGAAUCAUUUGCCUCUAUACAUGGCAAAGGUUAUGCUAUUGAUAUGGAAUUUUUGGAAUUUUCUUUUAACUCAACAAAAAGAGCCAAGAAUAUCGACGUAUCAAAAACAUCUCAAAAUAACUGCAAACACCUUAACAAAAAAUGUUGGAAAAUAUUGAGUGGAGAACAUAGAUCUGGAGACAAUAUUGAAUUAAAUAGUAGACCUCGAGGCGCAGGUGACACUUUCCAAAGAGAACUGUUUACCUCCACACAAAGUUGCUAGAGGGUUAAGACAAAGGUCCUUCCGGGAUACAACGAAGCUUUUGAAUUUCCUUUGAUUAGCAAAAUCGAGGAAUUCCUUAACUCUUACUCUAAUUUUUGAAAACAAGAUUGAUUGUAAUUGUAUUUUUUAGCACCAUAGACCCUCUAUUUAUAUAAACUUAAUGCAUACUACUUUGAAGACUCACAACCCUUUACAUUUGAUUUCCAUUGGACAUACUUCUUAGAAAAACAUGUCUCAUGGAAUCAAAUGUAUCCUUUGAAUAAAUCAUCACUUUCUAAUAAGUGCUCAUGAAUACUUAUGAAUUUGCACACGAGCUGAUACACAGGCAUGUGAGCCAAGUUAGUAAGUUACACUAAUGAGCACACGGUUGGACAGACAGGCAUGUGGUAUAGCCAUAUGGCUAUGUUUGGAGCCACACGGUCUAGACUCUGUCACACGGCCUGGACGCACGGUCAUGUGACCCCUGUAGGUGAAAUUUUUUAGUUUUCCAGAAAUGUUCUAAUUUGUUCCAAUUUGGUCCCUGAUUGCUUGAAAGCUAUUUUAAGGCCUCGUAGACUCAAUUUAAGGCUCGCAAAUGCAUGAUUUAUUCCAUUUUGAAUUUCUUAUAUAUUUAUUAAAUAAAUUUGAAAAUUAAUUACUAUUGGUUAUAAAAUGUUUCGUUUUCUACAGUAAUACUUUGUAACCCUAUUUCAUCGAUGAAAACGGGUUAUAGAUGUUACAUGUACACCUUAUUGUACGCUUGAGACAUGGUGGAUUCACUAUCACAAUAUACGGAAAUGGCGAAUGUACGUUGUGGCCAUAACUUUAUAUCUAGCAAGAGAUAUCUUAGUCAUUCCACUUCUUUGCCAGUAUCCGCCAAAGCUAUAAAUUCAACAUCCAUAGUUGACUGUGAAAUGCAAGUUUGUUUCUUGGAGACCCAACUAAUGGCUCCACCUUUGAUCGUAAAAAUCCAUCCCGAUGUCAACGUAUUGUCACUUAAAUUUGUAAUACAACUUGCAUCCGGGUAACCUUCUAGUACCGCGGGAUAAUCACUAUAGAAUAAUCCCAAAUUUUUUGUUUUCUUAAGAUAGCCAAAAAUCCAACAAAUUCCUUUCCAAUGAUCGGUACUAGGACAAUUUCUAAAUCUUACCAUUUUGCACACAGCAAAUGCGAUAUCGGGUCUAGUACAAUACGUUGCAUACAUUAGACUUCCAAUUACAUCGGUGUACUCAAGUUGCACUACAACCCUGCCAUUAUUCUCACUUAACUUAAAGUUUGAAUCAUAUGGAGUGUUCGAAUCCUUGAUAUUCAAAUGUUUGAACUUUUCCAAUACUUUCUCGAUGUAGUGAGAUUGGCUUAGUGCAAAGCCUCUUUUAUGCUUUUUCAUCUUUAUAUCUAGAAUUGUAUCUACCUUGUUAAGAUCCUUCAUCUUAAAAUUCAAGGCUAGAUACUCUUUGGUCUCAUAAACAUAUUCCAUGUUCGUCCCAAAAAUUAACAAAUCGUCUACAUAAAGAUAAAUAAUUACACCAUACUUAUCGGUAAAUUUAGUGUAAAUAUAUUUAUCCACACCAUUAUGUAAAAAAACCAUAUGACAAGAUAAUUGAGUCAAAUUUCUCAUGCCAUUGUUUAGGCGUUUGUUUUAAGCUAUAUAAUGACUUGAUCAACUUACACAUCUUAUGUUCAUUUCCAGGAAGCACAAAGCCUUCUAGUUGCUCCAUGUAGACGUCUUCUUCGAGAUCACCAUUCAAACAAGCCAUCUUAACAUCCAUUUGAUGUACAUGUAACUUAUGGAUAAUGUAAGUGCUAUAAGAAUUCAAAUGGAGGUCAUCCUAGCGACUGGUGCAUAGGUGUCAAAAUAAUCUAGGCUUUUCUUUUGCCUAAAUCAUUUAGCUACCAACCUAGCCUUAAAGGUUGGAGCACCCCCUAAUGGAGUAUUCUUCCUCGAUAGGCUUCGAUCCUUGAUGAAGAUCAACUAGAAUCCAAGAAUUGUUUGGUAAUAUUGAAUCAAUUUCAUCAUUGAUCGCCUCUUUCCAAAAUGUCACAUCCCUAAAAGUCAUGGUUUCACCAUAGGAUUGUGGAUCACCAUCCACAUUAAACAUUAUGGUGAUCUUCCUAAUUAUGAAUUCUUUAUUUCCCUCAACAAGAAAUACUAGCGAUUGCGAGGAAAUGGAAUCAGGACCAAAGUCCAUUACUUUUCUCACUCUUUGACUUUUUCUCGGCUUUGUAUCCUUAUUGUCACAAAGACUUCUUUUGGUUUGAUCAUUUGAGAUCAUUGGUUGAUAUUUUUUCUCGAAUCUAUUGAAUCAUCGAAAACCUUAUUUUCAAUGAAUACAACAUCUAUUGUUUCAAUUCCCGUAUUUGACACUAAGUCAAGAACACAAUAAGCCUUAGAGUGUUGGGUAUAUCCAACAAAUGCACCUUUGAAGGCUCUUGGUCUUAACUUUGUUCUCCGUUGGUCAGGAACUUUAUAGUAAGCCAAGUACCCUCACACUUUGAAAUAAUCUAAGUUUGGCAUCCUACCAUUCCAUAACUCAUAUAGAGAUACUUUGAAUUUUCUCGAUGGUAUUCUAUUAAGGAUAUAACACGUAGUCAAUAAUACUACACCCCAUAGAUUAUAUGGAAGUUUAGCAUUUAACAACAUCAAGUUAACUAUAUCUACUAGAGUACGAUUCUUUCUUUCUGUCAAACCAUUUUGUUGCAGAGUAUAAGGAGCAGAACACUCAUGUACCACACCUUGUUCCUCACAAAAUACAUUAAAUUCAUUUGAAAAAUAUUCACCACCUCUAUCAUUACGAAGCACUUUGAUUUUCUUACUAAACAAAUUCUCAACCUCAUUUUUAAAAUGUUUAAACAUAUAAAAAGCCUCGUCUUUACUUUUCAUGAAAUACACAUAAGUAAAUCUAUAGAAGUCAUCUAUAAAAGUGAGAAAUAUCAUUUUCCACCUCUUGUUAGGGUUCCAUUUAAUUCACAAGCAUUUGAAUAGAUUAAAUCUAACACUUGUGAAUUCCUUUCACACUUAUUAGGAAAUCACUUCUUGAUAAUUUUUUGAUUAAAUACAAAUUUCACAUUUAUCCAUAAAAUCAUCAUUACUUAGAUUGAUAUAACUAUUCUUUUGCAUAUAUUGUAAAGUUAUAAAAUUAAAAUGUGCUAAACAUGCAUGCCACACAGGAGAAGACUUAACAAUAUAAGUAGAAGAAUUGACUUUAUUCAUAUUAAUGCUCAACUUGAAAAAACCCUCGUUACAAUAUCCUUUUCAUACAUAUAUAUCACCCUUAAGCAAGACAAACUUAUCAAAUUCCAAGAUAAUCUUGAACCGUUGUUAUAUAGAAGACUCUCAGACACUAAAAUAUUUCUCACAUCGGGAACAUGUAACAAAUUGGUCAAAGUCAAUUUCUUCCCAAAUGUGAAGUUGAGUUCCACUGUACCUUGACCGAGCACCUUAACUGAUUGAUAGUUGCCCAUAAGCACUUCGCAAUUUGCCACUAGUUCAUAACUCUCAAACUGUUGUCGGUCAUUACACACAUCGACAGUAUCUCUAGAGUCAAGCCACCAAUUACAGGACUUAUCGACCAUGGCUAUGUUGAGUUUGGUAAUCAUACCAAUCUCCAAACUCUCGAUUCCUUCCGUAACCAUGGUCACUAAGUCCCUGUCUUCCACCAUAUUGGCUUUGGAAGUUAUGGCAUCAUGCUUAUUUUUGAGAAAUUUUCAAUCCUUAAUAUAGUGUCCUUUCUUAUUGCAAUUAUAACAAAUGCAAUUUUUUUUCCUUGUCUUGCACGUCAUUGGUCUUAGAUGUCGCCUUUCUCUUACCAUUUUGAGAGUUCUUGGACUUGUUCACAUGGUUCACUUUAGAACUUUGGGGAAGAUACACCGCAUCACACUUUUGAGUUUCCUCUUCAAUAACAAAUGCCUAAGUAUUUUCUCCAUAGUGAAGUCCUUUUCCAUAUGCAGAAGUUUCUUCCGAUAAUUCUUCCAAGACAAGACCAACUUUGAAAUAAUAGCGCCGACUUGUAAAAAUUCUAGAAUAACAACAUUCAAGUCACGGAGCCUGCUUACAAGGACUUGACUUGAUCCAUGAUUAGGAUACUAUCGAGCAUUUUGAAUUUGAAAUACUUCAUCAUUAAAAAUUUAUCAGUACCUUGUCAUUCGGUGUUAUAUUUCUCUUCAAGAGCUUUCCAUAUUUUUAUCAGGGAUUGCAUCAACAUGUAGAGAUCAUACAAUCGAUUAGACAAGGUGUUGAGGAUGUGUCAUCGACAUGUGAAAUUGUCUUUUUCGCUCUUUUUCUUGAGUUUAGCCACUUUCGCAAUUUUCUCAGGGUUUACAUUGGGGGCAGGAUCCUCCACAGGUUGUAGGUUUGGAUCCAGAACAUAUGCCACAUUUAAGACAAUAAGAAGCAACAACAUCUUAUCCUUCUAGCAAUUGAAGUUUGAACCAUCAAAUCGGUCAAGUUUCACAAACUCUUGGUUCAUCACUUUGAAUGCGAUGGUAGCCUCUGCUGCCAUCUCCAAAUUAGUUCUCUUUGAUUGUUGGAAAAUAUUGAGUGGAGAAGAUAGAUCCAGAGAUGAUAUUGAAUUAAACAGUAGACUUUGAGGCGCGGGUGACACUUUCCAAAGAGAAUUGUUUACCUCAACACAAAGUUGCUAGAGGGUUAAGACAAAGGUCCUCUUGGAAUAAAAACAAAGCUUUUGAAUUUCCUUUUAUUAGAAAAAUCGAAGAAUUCUAUAACUCUUACUCUAAUUUCUAAAAACAAGAUUGAUUGUAAUUGUAUUUUUGAGGACUAUAACCCUCUAUUUAUAUAUAAUCAAUGAACACUAUUUUAGAGAGUCACAAUCAUUUACAUUUGAUUUCCAUUGGACAUACUUCUUAUAAAAACAUGUCUCAUUGAAUCAAAUGUAUCAUUUGAAUAAAUCAUUACUUUCUAAUAAUUGAUCAUCAAAAAUUAUGAAUUUGCAAUUUACAAUUUCCAACAAAAAAAAUUCUAAUCACUGCAGAAAAAAAAAACUAAUUAGGUUUUACUUAGAGUAAAAAGAAAAUUGAAAGAAUAAAAAAAUGAAAUAUAUAUAAUUAUUUAUUUUCUUUGGAGUACUUGGUAGGAAGGAUGAAAAUUUUGAAAGAAAUAAUUUUCUUCCCAUUAAUUGCUCACUAUAGUUGAAAAGUAAGAAAAUGAAAUAAAACUUUUGAAAAAUGCAUAAUUCGAACUAACAUAUUUGCAAUUCUCAUUUUCUCUUCUCUUAUAAUUCGAAUUUGGAAGGAUAAAUAAAUAAUUAACACAAAUCCCACAAGCCUUUACAUGUUGAGAGUUUCCUACAACCAUAUGAUAAACAAGAGGAGUCAAAUUCGAAAUUCUAUUUUAAAGAGAAGUGAUAUUUAUCCGGACUAUUGCAAAUUAGCGUCAAUGACUGAAAUCAACUUCCUUCUCAUGAGGAGUUUUAUUCAUUACGGCACCUUCACUGACAACAUCCAUCAUAUUUCUUUCCAUAGGUUGGAGUCCUUCAUAAAAACAUUGGAUGACUAAAUGUUUCGAAAUUCUAUGUUAUAGGCAACUAGCACAUAGUUGUUUAGUCGAUUCUCGGAACGAAUGAGAUUUGUAAAGUGUCUAGAAAUACAUGCCAUAUAAAUCUGUGAUAGUGUGAUGUGUAUGAUCCGAUCUAAUCUUUGUUUUACAUAUAGACAGAAAUAAUUUUCAAUCGAGCUAUUUCAUAAAGUGUUGAAAGUGACACUAAGGUGUCUGAGUAAGAAUGUGUUUAUGAUGAGUCGAAACUUGGAAAGGUAUGAAGAAGAGUUCAUGAUAUGGAUGUGAUGAGGUACGAAAUGAAAUAGUCAUAAAUCGAGAAAUAUAAGAAAAGUGAAAUGAAAUGGAAGUUUAUCUUGUGAUGAGCGCAUCUAUGUUUAUGUGACAUUCAUAUGAUAUUAUGUGCCUGACUUGUUUGAUUAAGUAAAUGCUAUAAGUAAACUUACUCAAAAUUCAUGGAAUGUAUGUUUAAGUACACUUGUUUGAAAAGGAUAAUUGAAAAAUUCGGGUAACAUAAUUAUGUAUGUUAAUUUGCUUGAAGUGAAUUAUGUAAUUGUGAGGAUAUGAUGUUGAUGAUAAAUGCUAAGUCAUAUGAGUGUAUUUAUGAGAGUCCAGUUAGAGGCUUUACGACCUCACCCCCUUAUCAAUGUGGUAUUUUAUAACAAAAAUUCACGAUAAUUAUGUUGAAUAGUUCACAAGUGUGAAACUAAAGAGUACAGUAGUGGAAUAAUUAAAAAUGCAGACGGAGUUAAAAAUAGUUUGACAAGUGAACACAGUUUUGAAAAAGAUAUCAAAUUAUUUUAAAGAUUAUUCAAAUUACGUAAUGUCACGGUUAAAGAAUAAGUUAACCUCGGCUAAUCGACUUAUUCAGAUAUGAUGUCUAAAAUAUGUGUUUGCUGAAUUUUUUUUCGAAUUGGUUUUCGUUAGGGAAUGGAAUGAUGCAGGGUUCAUGAUGAUAGAAUUAGUAAGAGAAAUGAUAAUUGAGUAGAAAAGAUGUCUGUGUGUGUGACAGUUAUAGUUGAAACGAAUAUGAUGAUCUUUUUUAGGUAUUAUAUAUAUUCUUUUAUCCUCAAGUGUAUGUGUGUGGUUAUUCAAUUUUUGAUGGAGUUCUUAUGUUGUGAGAAUGCUAGCUAACUAUGAUGUUAGACAAAAGCCCUAUUGGUCUGGUCGGUUUAUGAUAAGUAUUUCUUCAUCUCUUUGGAAUUUUAUUCUAAUAUGUUAGAAUGAAGUCGAUGGUAAAAAAAUAAAUAAAUAAAAAUAAAUAAAAAUAUUCGAGGUUCAAUCGAAUUGUGAUUUUGAGAAGUUAGUAAAAGUGUUUCAUGAGUGUUGAAAGCAACUUCUUCUGAUAAGAUUUUCGGGGAUGAAAAUCCCUAAAGGGGGGAGAGUUGUAACAGUCUAAUUUUCAGUGGUGUCGGAACAGUGAUUCGAGAUCACUAAAUCAGACAAAUGAGUAGGAAAUAUUAUUAAUUUAGUGAGUAUAAGUUAAAUGUGAAGUUAGGAAAAAUUUUGAAGUACUGAAUAGUGUACUAAAAAUAAAUAUUAAAAUAAUUAGAAUCGAAAACGAGGUAUCGAGACCUCGAGAAUUUUAAAUCGAGCCAUAAAUAUUUUUAUAAAUAUUUAUGGAGUGUUAAUAAGUUAGUAUUAAAGUUUCGUCAAGAAAUUUUAAAGUUCUGAUAGUUAAUUGAACAAAAAGGACUAAAUUGUAUUAAAUGCAAAAUUGUGGGAAAUGAUUAAAUAGCUUAAAUGAUAAAAGAAAGAUGGUUUAAAAGGAAAAUAGACCCAAGGUCUCUUUGGGCUGGACGGCAAUGGCAUGAAAUCAGCAAGAAAAUAAGGAGAAUUAAGGGAAAAAUUGGAAAAUUGCAAAAUUUACUUAAUAAAGCUAGGACUAAAGUGGAAUUAUCUAGAUUUCUCUUUAUUUUUUCUGCAUUCUCAUCAGCAAAAACACCAUGGAAGGGUUCCCUUAAGCUUUUGUUUUCAUAUUUUUACUUCAGGUAAGUUCAAUUAUUGAUUAUUUCUUGAAUUUUUUGUGUUUUUGUGACUUUUACAACUAGGUCCACUUGUUAAAUUCAUUAGUUUUUGAUUCUAUGAAAGAAAUUGAAAGUUUCCAUGAAUAUGUGCUAGAAGUAUAUGAUGAUUUGACAUGGAAUUAGAGCUUUAAGUUGUUUAUUUGCUGAUUUUAUUGAAAGAAUUGAAUAGAAAGUGAAUGUUUGGGACCUAAUUGUAAAAGAGUUUGAAGUUAGAGUUUUAUGUAGAAAUUCUGAAAUUAAAUAGUUAUGAAAUAACUUAUAAUGUCUAGGAAAAGUAUUAAUUGAGAAAAUUAUCUUAAUUGAGGGGUUAAUUGAGCAAGGACUGAAUUGUAUGAAUUGUGAACUUUGGGGCAAAAUAGAAAUCAACAUUUUGCACUAAAACUGUUUUGGACAACAGCAGUAGUCUAACUUUGAAAAAUCACCAAAAAUUGUAUAAAUGGAAUUAGAGGAUGAAUAAAAUAUUCAAUUAAAGCUUAUUUAGUCUAGUUUCUUAUAGAAGAAAUGAUGUAAGCAAUGGAAUUGUAAAUCAUGAGAUAUGAUAAAUUUUGUGAGACAAGGUCAGAAUGAUUUCGGGUUCCCUUGUUCUUACUUUGUAAAAUCAUAAAAAAUUUGAUAAAAAUAAUUAUGGGCUUAAAUUUAUAUGUUUAGAAUCCUGAAUGAGUCUAUUUUCAAGAGAAACAAAUGGUAACAUCAUUCGAAAUUAUGAAAUAACAGAACAGGGGAGACUUUAAUGAAUAAACUGUAUUAAUUGGCCCAACCAAAAAUUAUGAAAUUUUUAUGGUAAGAAGAUAUAUGAGUCUAGUUUCAUGGAAAAUUAGAGGAUCUUAAUUUUGAGUUCCGUAGUUCCAGAUAUAAAUAAUUUAGUGACUACGACACGGGUGGAUAGUCUGAAUAUUCACAUAAGUAAUUAGUGAAAAUUAUAGAUAAGGUUACUUACGAGUGUGUUAUUUAUACCAAGGAUGUGGAUGGAGAGGAGGAGGAGGAAAAAUAUAUGAAUGACUCGUGUAUAAAUUAAACACAUGCCCGAUUAUAAUCGAUAAGUGUUGGAUUAGAAAUGAUAUAAUGUUUUAUGUGGAAUAUUUAUUAUGAAAUUAUGAUUAUCGUUAUAAUACAAAAUUUGUACUUGUGAGUUUAUAUGGAUAAAUUUUAGUGAUUAUUUGUUAAUUUUAUGAAUUUCAUGAUGUGUUAUUUCAUAUGUAUUAAUGAUAAAAUCGUGAAUGAUGUAAAAGCAUGAAAAUUGAAUAAAUGAUCAAAUUGAGCAUUUUAGUUCAGUGACAAGAUGAAUUGAAGGAAAAGACCAUAGUUGGACCAUGGCAACAAGUGAUAAGUGAUAGCUUCGGCUACACUUAUCUGAUCAAGGAUAAGUGGAAGUGAUAAGUAAUAGCUUCAGCUACACUUAUCUGAUCAAGGAUAAGUGAAAGUAAUAAGUAAUAGCUUCGGCUACACUUAUCUGAUCAAGGAUAAGUGAAAGUGAUAAGUAAUAGCUUCGGCUAUACUUAUCUGAUCAAGGACAAAUGACAAGUGAAAAGUGGUAGCUUCGGCUACCUGAUCAGUGAAAAGUGGUAGCUUCGGCUACCUGAUCAGUGAAAAGUGGUAGCUUCUGCUACCUGAUAAGUGAAAAGUGGUAGCUUCUGCUACCUGAUCAGUGAAAAAUGGUAGCUCCGACUACCUGAUCAAUGAAAAAUGGUAGCUCUGGCUACCUGAUCAGUGAAUAGUGGUAGCUUCGGCUACAAGUGACAAGUGAUUUCCGUAUAAGACCAUAUCUGGGAUAUGGCAUCAGUGAGAUAUGUGAUUCGUGUAAGACCAUAGCUGGGCUAUGGCAUCGAUAUGUGAUAUGUGAUUACGUGUAAGACUAUAGCUGGGCUAUGACAUCGAUAUAUGAAGAUGUGUAAGACCAUAGUUGAACUAUGACAUUGAGUACUCAAUUCCGUAAGACGUUCACUAAUUUGACAAAGUUUGGUAAGUGUUACAUGGAAUUAUGUGAUACAGGAAGUACGAAUUGAUAAGAUAUGAGUAUAGAACUUGGUUGAUAAAUGAAUUCAUUUGUGAUUAUAUAAUUGUUCAUCUUGAAUGUAUUGUCCAUAUGUAUUGAUAAUUCAAACGUAUUAAUGAAUAAAGUUCCGACAUUAAAUAAAUUGAACACGAGACAAAUAAUUAUAAAAUUGAACUCGGAAUUCAUGAAAAUGAUGAUUAUUGAUAUAUAGAGACAUGAGACAUUGGUAUAUGAAUAUGGAAAAUAUUUGAUAAAUGUGUUUAUUCAUAAUUAUGGAAUUAUAUACCUCAUGUGUACUAUUUGCAUAAAGAUGAUAUUUCAAAUACUUUGGUUAUUUAAGCUUAAAUAUGAAACAGUAUGAAAUCAAGAUAAGUUGUUAUAAAAAUAUAUUUAGAUUACAGAGAUAUGGCUGAUAUAUGUUGUAUGAUUACAUAACGUGAAAUUGUGUAUAUAUAUGAGAAAUUUAAUGAGAAAUGAGCCCAUACACGUUUCUUGUUAUUUAUAUGAAGUGUACGACUGACAAGGGUGAUGAAGUUAUAAACAGAGAGUUACACGGGUUGAAAACACGGGCGUGUGACUCUCUAAAGUGUGAAAAUUUUCUAAAGUGUUGCAAAAGUUUCAUAUGUUUAUGGUUUGGUCCCAAACCACCCUAAAUGUAUGUUUUGGGCCCCAUAGGCCCAUAUAAGGGACGUUAAACAUAUGUAUGAAAGUUUUUAAUUUAGAAGAAAUUUUAUGGCUGAUUUUUACAUGUGAAGACUCUUCAUGUCGUUCUACUUGAUGCCACAACUUUUUUUCUUGAUAGAUGUAACACCUCUAACCCGUAUCUGUCGUUGGAUAAGGGUUACAGAGCAUUACCAUACAACCGAAAACAUUUAAACUUAAUAUCAUUCAAUAAUAUAAUCACAUCAUAAAUCAAUUAUAUAAAUACAUACCGUCCUUAAAUCGAGCCAUCGAGGCCCUAAAAAACAUCUUAGAAGUAAAUUGAGACUAAUUUAAAAAAUUUGGAAAGCUUAGGAAAAACAUGUAAAAUUUGCAAAACAGGGGUCAUACACCCAUGUGCCAAGCCGUGUAACUCACUGAUUUGCACCUUAAAGAAAUCAUCAAAUGACACAUGGCCAUGUCGUUAGGCUGUGUGUCUCACACGGUUGAGUCACACAUCCGUAUGGACCCAAAUUUACCUCAAAUCAAGCCAUUUCAAAACCAUCUCAUGCUUUAACAUUUAGACCAAUUUUGUACACUUUCAAAGCACCAAAAGUUCACCUAAACACACAUACAUUUGCCACUUCCAAAAUCUUAAUUCAACUAACCAAUAUCCCAAUCAAGGUACCACAAUUAAUAUCAAAAUAUCACCUACCUGGACAUGUUCAUAUGCCUAAUUCUAUGCAGACAAUUCUAGACCAUUUAAGUAUUAAAAUAUACCUCAUUUAGCCAUUCCCAAAACAUACAAAACAUACCAUAAAAAACCAUUAUCAAGCAAUAAAAACUUACCAAAAGAACCUUAUAUACAUGCACUUAUAAGUGACCAAAAUGACUUACUUAGGCAAGCAUUAUAAGUUCAUCAACAAACCAUAAGCAUCAAAGCACAAACAUACCAAGUUACCAUUUUACAUGUUUAUCAAAAACGCCAUUAUAAACCAUCCUAUACAUGUUACCCUAUACAUGCCAUUAUAAACCUUAACCAAAUUACUAAAAAACUACCGAAUUGUCCACUGGAUAGUGUGAUAGAUCUCUGACAAGCUUCCAAACUGAUCGAGUUUCUGACAAUCUAUAAAACAAAAGAAAAUGAUUACGUAAGCAAUGAAUGCUUAGUAAGCUCGUAUGAACUUAGAACAUAACUUACCAUUUCAAUAAUGAAAUUUAUAGAAUAAGUACAAACCGUUACCAAUGCCAUAAGGUUAGUAAAAGCCUAUAUAACAUUAUCAAUCUCACAAGUUACUAUAUUUGUUCAUAAUUCACAUGAAAUCAAUCACGUAUAAUAUAACAUUUAAUUAAUCAUCCUUACUAUAUGAUCAUGUUUCAUUCCAUUUACUUACUUAUUGUUUCCAAUACCAUGAGUUUAAUAUAAGCUUAUUCAAGCAUCAUCAUGCUUACAUAUUAGUAGAUUCAUUGAUAAUCUUUUAAACUCAUUUAUAACAUAAAUAGAUUUCAUAAGAUACAUUACAUAAGCAUAAACCUUUUCAUACCGUUAUGAACCUUUCCAUUAAGUCACCUAUCGUUUCAUUCCUUUUCUUACCCGUUGAACCAUAUAGAAUUACAUAUACUCGGGAAAGCUCACACGAAGUGUACCUUUACAUAUAAUCAUAAUCUUUCCUUUACAUCAAUUCUCACACGAGUUGUGGAAUGGGCAUGCUCACACAAGCUGUGGGUCAGAAUAUAAGUUAUACGAUGUUGCUCACAUGAGUUAUGGAGAAUCCACAACAAAUGUAGGAUCCCAAUUAUCGGUAGGACAUUCAAGACCAACACCUGAAACAUGAAAUCCCUAAUGACAUGUCAUUUGUAUCCUAAGAAUUCUUAAGGUUCAACCGAGACUCGAUAUCCAUCAAUUCGUCAUAAUAUGGAUACGUUCACAUAUAUAUUGAUUCAUUUUCAUUAAAUACAACAUAGUAAACAUUUAAUUAAAUUAAUAUUAUAAUGAUUACAGUUCAUACAAACUUACCUAACUAAAUUGCAGCAAUGACUAAGUACAGGGGCUAUUUGGUAAUUUUCUCUUCUCCUCGAUUUUUCACUCAUUCUUGAUCUAAAAUAAUAGUUCCAUUCAAUUCACUAAUUCUAACAAAAAAAUCAAAUUCAUUUUUAUGCAAUUAAUUCAUUUUUGAUAUUUUACAAAAUUUCCCCAAAAUUUAUCCUUUUUGCAAUUUACUCUCUAAACCUGAAACUUGCAAUUUCAUUAUUUUUAAUAUAAAUCACGCUAGCCAAUUUUUACCCAAUCUUAUAACAGCCCAUAUUUAUUCAAAAUUUACAAUAUUUUCCUUGAAUUUUACCAUUUUCAUAAAUCAAUCCCUAAACUUGAAAAUCAUCAAAAAAUACUUAACAAAAUACUUAUAUUCAACAACCAAGCUUAAUAUCAUAAAAUUCCAAGAACAUCACAAAUUCACCCAUAGUAAAUUUCUGUAUACUUAACAAUUUAACAAAUUAACCCUCAGAUUAACUAGAUUAAGUUAAUACGAUACCAUAAAUAUCAAAUCCAUUAAAACCGGGUAGAAAUUACCUACCAUGCAUGAAGAAAUAGCUUUUUAGCUUGGCUUCCAUGGAGUAUUUGGUUAGACAAAGAAAGAGAUUAAAAAUGAAAAAGAUGAUGAUAGGUUUCAUCUUUUAUUUUAAUUUUACUUAUUUACCAAUUUACCUUAUUAACCUUUUUAAACCAUUUAAAUUUCAAUAAAAUUUAUCCAUAUUUAUCCACUAAUAUAAAAAAGGUAUAUUUACCUUUUAAAACCCUUAGCUUAUGGUUCUUUAGCCAAUUAAUACAAUUAAGCUAAUAGCAAUUGACUUUUGUAUCCUUUACAAUUUAGUCCUUUUUAAUUAAUUAACUAUCUAAACAUUAAAAUUUUUUAACCAAAUUUUAAGACGGCCUUAAUAACAUUCCGUAAAUAUUUUAUUAAAUAUUUAUGGCUCGAUUUAUAGAAACGAGGUCCCGAUACCUCAUUUUUUAAAACUACUUGACUUUAUAGUCAUAUCAGUUGGACCUAAUUAUUCAUUCAAAUAACAUAAUUUUCCAAUUCAAAAUUUAUUUUAAUACUAUAAUUAACUCAUAAAUAUUUAAUAAUAUUUACGAGCUCACUUGUCGAAUUUGUGACCCCAAAACUACUAUUUUUGACACUACUAAAAAAUCAAGCUAUUAAAAUAGAAGUAGCACGUCAAGUAGAAAAGAAUUAUCAAGAAAUAACCUUAUUAUGUCAAUUCAUGUGGUUAUAGAUUCAGGAGGUAAAUAAAAUAGUCAAUUCUUCACCUUGUCGGCUAGCGAAGAGGGUAAGGCUCUUAGUUUGAUUUGCUCUUUGAUCAGUCAUUGCCGUCUCAUAGUAGAACACACUACAUAAAAGCCCUUCAAGCACUUAUGAGGAUCUUCGUUUGUUUGACCAUGAAAAGUAAGCAAUAAAUGAAUUAGUCCAGAUUUUAAUUCAAAAGAUACCUCUAAUUUAGGAUAUUGAUGCACAACUGUUGUUGCUUCAGAUUCUACGUAGCUAACUCUCUCAUUGUUGGUUCUAAACGAGCCAUUGGUUCUUCUCCUUUUUGAUUUGGUAGAUGAAGGCGACUGGUUAAUUCUCUCUUGAACUCCCUUCCUUAGUCUUCGAGCAGUUUUCUCAAUCUCAAAAUUGUAUUAGAGUUCACCUACAUGAGAAGACCAAAAUUUUAAUUAAUAUAUUUUAUGGUUGAGCAAAAAGAAAGACUGAAGCAUAAAAAGGAACAUAAACAAAAUAAAAUUAAAAAUAAUAGAUAGAAAAAAGUAUUAAAAUUAAUCCUCGACAAAAACGCCAAAAUUUGUACAGUUUUCAAGACCUAAAAAAGUAAAAUUCUAUUAAAAAAAUAUAAAUUUAGUACAUAGCAGUGAGUAGAGUCAUAUUUAUAGAGAUCGGUAAUAAUUUUAUUUCUUAAAUAAAAAAAAGGAAAAUAAAUAUGAUGGGGGUUUAGAAAAUAAAAUACUAAAAUUAAAUUUAAAUGUUAACCAAGAAGGUAAUAAUUAAAAUUGAAGAAAACCAACAUGAUGAAGCUCUAGCCAAAUGUAAAAUAUAUCUUUGAUUCACAAGUUUAAUCAUUGAUGCAUAGAUAAUUUUAUUGUUUUUUAAUAAACUAGUUAUAGUUGCUGAUGUCACGCUUAGCAAUCAGUCUCUUUUUUACCUUAUCGAUAACCAAAAGCUCGUUGAAAUUAUUCCCCUUAUCAAUGAACAACCCCAUAAUUUUACCCUUAGAAUUUAGUUUACUGAUAAAAUUACGAACAAGAUAAACUUAAUUUUAACCAACAAACGCACCAAAUAGAGUUUAUUUAAGCUAGAUCGCAUGUGUACACAACAUUGAUUGCAUACGUAAUUAUGGUAUUUUUCACAAGCAUUAGAAUGAAUUAAAUAAUUAUAAAUUUUUUUUAUUGACAAAGUAAAUAUUCUAAGUUAUCAAAUAUGAGUCCUAUAUUUAAAAAAAAACCUAAAUAUUUGUAAUUAAAUUAAAAAAACAUGUGAAUACUAAAGAAGAAAAAAACAUGUAAAUUUUCACAUAGAAACUGUCAGGCUAGGCCAUUUUUAGACACUUUUGGACUUUUUUUGAGUUUGAGUUGUGAAAUAAUUUUAGUUAAAAUUUUCAAUUCCAUAUGAAAUGGUAUAUUAUAAAUUCAAAAUAAAACUUUAUAAUUUAAGUUAUAUGACUAAAAUAUUACAGCAGUAUAAUGAUGAAAGUCUAAACUACAAAAUUUACCAAAAAAGUUGUAAUAUCUUUUUCUCCCAAUAUUUCCAUAAAUCUAUAAUAUAAAAAACAUAAAAUUAAAUAAUAUAAUUAACAACUUAAAUAAUAUAAUUGAAUAGUAUAAUUCAAGAAUAUUACAAAUAAAUUAAUAUUGAUGCACUUAUAGAAACCAAGGCUUCCGCUCAAUCACGAGAGACGCUUUCCCAAGACAAUCUUACCGUAAUCAAAAGGAGGUCAAUCCACAACCGGCUAAGCCUUAACCUAAACCAUGCUGUUCAUCAAGAUUAAAUAUCUCAUCGAAAAAGUCGUCCUGUUGUCUUUUGGGUUGCUAUUAGCUCCAUUGGCCAUGGAUUCUACAAGAAAGUUGUGUUGACAUUGAUGAUUUGGUUUAAGCUAUUGGUACCAGUAUUGUCAAAGCGUCAGGUAGAAUGUAUAACAGAUGGCUUGACCAUUGCUGACUUUUACCAAUCCAGCAUGUUUUAAAACUUGGUGGUAGUUGCUGCUACUGGUUAUGUAUCGAGUUGCUGGGAUACUAGUUAUGUUUCAUUGUGCUAUUGGAAACAUGGUUUGUUGUUGGGAGUUUAUUUGUUGUCAGAUUUUCUAUGUUAUGGUUCCUGGUUUGUUGUUUGAUGAUUCGAUGGAUGGAUGCAGAAGUUGGAGAAACCAUAGAGUAUAAAUUUAGUCAAAAGAUAAAAUAGUAAAGGCCAUUUUGUUUUAUUUUUCCAUAAUAUUAUACAAAUAGUCACCAUGUAUAUAUACAUGGCACUGACAUGAUUGUGAAGGCCUACACACUUUCUAAUGGUUCUACUGGCUAUCAAAUUUUUUUACUAUAAUAGUAAUACAGGUAAUGCAGCAGCAAGUAUCACACUAUUAUUUAAUUUUGAUAGCCUUAAUUACCACCACAGCUUGAUGAAGAAGCAAAGGCAGUUAUGCCUCUAACUCAAAUGAUGCCUUCAUUGUGGGUGAACGACUCACGGGAUCAAUUUCAAUAGAUGCAUUGUAUCCAAACUUUGUAACUUUAAAUUUUGGUUUUCCUCUUUUCUCAAGGUUGGUUUUGAUUUGCCCCCAGUGAACAGGUUGUCUCUGGAUAUCAGUAUAGACCUGCAGCAUGCAUGCAAAUGGCAUGCAAAUGGUCAUAGAUUAAAUGAUUAUAUAUACGCAUUCUAACUAGUUAAUUAAUGAUAAGAUUGAAUUGAAUGCAACAAAUACCUUGCUGUUCUCAUCUAGUGGGUUGCUCCAGGCAACAACCCACUUGGUUCCAUCACGUCGCCUGUACACAAGACCAGCAACUGAACCAUGACUAUCAGCAUCAUCAGUCACUGAUUCAUGUGUAAACUCACUCGAAUCUCCAUCUUCAAUUAUUUCUGGGAAAUCCGCAUAAUGAGAGCCUUGCCAAACUUUCUUGUCAGUCAAGGUUAGAGCUUCGCUGGAAGAGUUCCAAAGCUUGCCGUUUGUGCAUUGUUGAGCUCUUUUCAUUUGAAAAUUAGCCAUGGUAGCUUUGUAUGUGCUUUGGUUAGCUAAAGUUUGUUUUGGUUGUGUUAUGCUUCAAAUAUUGCAAUACACACCUACUUAUAUACUAGUUUACACCAUGCAUGCAUUGUCCAUAACAACAACGUUUAUGCGCAUGAAAUUAUUUGACUUCAUUCACAUUAAAACUUUUUUAUAUUCUUUUUCCCUUUUUUUAUUCAUAUUCUUGAUGUGUCUUUUCACUUUUAAGUACAAAUUCUUUUCAAUUAAAGAAAUAUUUUUAAAGUAUUUGGAUUUUUUUGAUAAAGUAUUAUUUUUUAAAUUAAAUAAUUAACAAUAUAAAGGUAAACUACUUUCAUUAUGAUCUAAACUAUUAGUAAGUUUAUGUUUGGUUAUUCAAUUUAAAAAAAACAAGCUACAAAUUGAAUAUUAAACUAUUCAAAAAGUUUAUUUAAGUCAAUGAGCUAUUAAAGUUGUUGUUGUAUGACCUUCUCUAUUUGCACCACCUGUAUCUAUCAAAAGUUCUCAUUCCCCUUCUCUUCUACAAUUCACUUUUUUCUCAAGAAAUAACUUUUAACCUCGUGAAUCUGCGAACCAAAAUUCAAACAAAUUUUUUCUCCCAUCACUGACAUUGAUAGUCAAAUCAACUUGGAUAUAAAAUAUGUUCUACUACUUGUUAAUGGUUUUUGAUCCACCAUACCGAUCAUUGAAUCAUUGCUUGAAGCUUGCUAGCAGGACUUUAAAAUAAAACUUUAAUAACCUAGUGACUUCAAUAAAAACUUUCAAAUAGUUCAAUGACCAUUUUAUAAUUAUUUAAAAUUGAAUAACUAAAACAUAAAUUUACUAAUAAUUUAAUAUGAAUAAAAUAUAAUUGUUGGGGACUCAAACUAAACUCACAUCACAUAAUUAAAUAAAUAAUUUCAGCGGAUGUAUUACAUAAAAAAAUUAGUACAUAAUAAAAAAAGUCAUCUCAAAAUUAAAAGCUUCAAAAACAUACUUAAAUCUUAAUUAUAUAUUUUUAAGAAUUAUUGAAAUAAUUUUCUUUUACUAACUAGUGUCAGUUUCUAGUACUUACACAACUCCAUGUACAUCAUUAUCCUGGUAACCUAAUAGUCACCAAAGCAUAAGUAUACAUACAACUAGCGUGACUUAAACCCAAGCCACAACUGGAAUGAUGAACACCUUUAACUAUCAAGCUAUUACAUGAGAUUCAUAUUAAAUUUUAAUAUGUUAAUGAUAUGUUUGAAAUAUUUUUUAUAUUGAUACUGUAUUUGUAUUAAUAAUUAAAUAACUUUAAAUGUAAUUUAAUUUUAAUAACAUUAACCAUUUUUCCAUUAAACUUUGAAUCCCUUUGAAAAAAAUAGUGAUUUGUGUAUUAAGCAUAAAUUUUUGUUGGAAAAAAAGGGAAUAAAACUUUGCAUUUGAGAUGCUGAAAGGCUAAGGUAUUAAAGCAAUGAGACUUUUAGUAUGGAGCUGAAUUUUGUUAUAUUAUAAAAUAUGCUUUAAGUUUCAAGACAUUAUUAGUGGAGUUAGAUGUGUUUAGGUGACACUUUCAUGAUUUUGACAAGUUAAUUACUUGUUAUAUGCAAUGUUUUGUUUUUCAGUUGAUCAAUGAAUUAUUUUUCAUCAAAAUUCUUCUUGUUUCUGUUUCAAUCCAAGCUAUAUUUUCUUGUUCUUCUAGCUCGUGUUUCUUAUUUUGUUUAGCAAGUCACUAUUGCUUAAAGCUUAAGACUUUGCUGUAAUUGCUUAGUGAUAACUCUCAACUCCAAUAAUUUGUAUCGGGAGCUGAUUUCUUAGAUGACCUUUCUCUUUUCUACUUUAAAAAACAAUGUUUUCAUCAAGUUUCUCUCCAGCACCACCACCAGUAUUCAAUAGUGAAGCCUACCACAUUUGGGUAGUCAAACUGAAAACCUACCUGCAGGCAUUUGACUUUUGGGAAGCUAUCAAUGCUGAUGUUAAACCACCACCCUUGAGAGCUAACCCAUGGUAGCUCAAAUCAGGCAGCACUUUGAUGACAAAGCCAAGAGGUAUAAGGCAAUGUCAUGCAUCCAAAACAGUGUGUCAGACUUGAUUUUCACAAGGAUCAUGGCCUGUGAGACUCUAAAACAGGCUUGGGACAAGAUUAAAGAAGAGUUUCAAUGCACUGAAAAAACAAGACAACAACAAAUUUUAAACUUAAGAAGGGAUUUUGAAAACCUAAAGAUGAAUGAGUCAGAGAUAGUUAAACAAUACUCAGACAGGAUUAUGGCUAUUGUGAACAGCAUCAGAUUGCUUAGAGACCAAUUCAGUGAAGCCAGAAUAGUAGAGAAGGUUAUUUCAACCUUACCAGAGAGAUAUGAAGCCAAAAUCUCUUCCUUGGAAGACUCAAGAGGUCUGUCAAACAUCUCUUUGACUGAACUAGUCAAUGCCCUCUAUGCUCAAGAACAAAGAAGAGCUAGCAGACAGGAUGAGCAUCAAGAAGGUACCUUUUAAGCCAAGAGCAAACCAACAUCGAGCUCCUUUGGCUAUAAAGGGAAGAAAACUUGGUCAAACAAGCCUAGAAGAGAUGGAGCAAGAAGAAGGUAUCCACAUUGCUCUCUUUGUAAAAGGAUUAGCCAUUCAGAAGCAAACUGCUAGUAUAGACCUGAUGUGCAGUGUAAAAUUUGCAAACAAAUGGGCCAUGUUGAGAAAGUGUGCAAGAACAAAAACUAACAAAAGGAACAUCAAACUCAGCAGCCUAAAACAGAAGCUCAAAUGGGAGAAGAGAGUUGUAGUCAGGAAGAACAAGUAUUUUUUGUCUCUUGCUCAGCUACCAAAAGAAAAGCCACAAAAGGGUGGCUGAUUGAUAGUGGUUGCACAAACCACAUGACACCUGAUGCUGCUAUUUUCAAGAGCAUUGAUAGAAGCUUUAACACUAGAGUAAAAGUGGACAAUGGACAUUACAUUAAAGAAGAAAGCAAGGAGAUGUGCUGAUUGACACUCCUUCAAGUACCAAACUUGUUUCUAAUGUUCUAUUAGUACCUGAAAUUGAUAGAAAUUCUAAGUAUUGCUCAGAUUUUUGAAAAGGGAUACUCUGUAGUAUUCAAAGGCAAAGAGUGCCUGAUUAGUGAUCCAAGUGGAUCCAAUCUCAUGUCAGUAACCAUGACUGAUAGAAGCUUUCUUGUUGAUUGAAACAAGAUUUCAGUUAGUGCCUACACAACUGCAUUAGAUGAAUCCAAACUGUGGCACAAAAGGUUUGGCCAUGUCAAUUAUAAGUCUUUACUGCACUUGUCUAAAGAAGACUUUCUUGAAAAUUUCACAAAAACAGUUUGAAAACAGGAUGUUUGUGAAGUGUGUCAGCUAAGAAAGCAAGCUAGACUACCAUUUCCUACUAAUAAGGCCUAGAGGGCCUCUAAAAAAUUGCAAUUUGUCCACACUGAUAUGUGCGGCCCUAUAAAGACUGAAUCUUUGAAUGGCAGCAAGUAUUUCAUCAUUUUCAUUGAUAACUACUUAAGAUUCUGUUGGGGCUAUUUUCUCAAGUAUAAAUCAGAAGUAGCUUCAGUGUUUUCAAAGUUCAAGGCUAUAACAGAAACUCAGUCAUGGUGCAAGCUUAAGACACCAAGGUCAAACAAUAGGACAGAAUACACCUCAGCAGUGUUUCAGACCUUUUGUGAGGAAUCAGGCAUUGAACACCAACUCACCAACACCUAUACACCUCAGCAGAAUGGUGUUAGUGAGAGAAAGAAUCGAACUCUGAUGGAUAUGGCCAGAUGCUUGUGUUUGAAAGGAAUUUGCCAAAAAGCUUUUGGGCUGAGGUAGUUAGUACUGCAAUAUACCUUCAAAACAGGCUACCAACUAAACCACUGCUUGAAAAAACACCAUUUGAAGCUUGGUUUGGGUUCAAACCAUCAGUUUCUCACUUGAAGGUCUUUGGUUGCAUAUGUUAUGCACAUAUUCCUGUAGUCAAGAGGGACAAAUUGGAAAAGAAGUCUCAGCCUAACAUUCUAGUUGGCUAUAGCAAUGUCAAGAAGGGCUAUGAGAUUCUGGAUCCUACAACUUACAAAGUCUUUUUGAGUAGAGAUGUUGUGUUUGAUGAGAGAUCAAGCUAGAAUUGGGAUAAAAGUGAACCAGAAUGUGCUGGUCAAGACUUGGUGACAGGGCAAACCGAAGCUGAUAAAAAAUGUCCUAAGAUGGACAUAUAUCAUGAGCCUGUUAGGGGAACUAGACCACUAAGUGAAAUAUAUGAGAGGGAAAAUGUAACUAUUAUUGAGCCAAUUUGUUUUGAAGAAGCUCAAGCUCAAGAAGGCUAAAGGCAAUCCAUGCUUGAUGAAACGAGCAUGAUUCACAAAAACCAGACCUUAGAGUUAGUUGCAAGACUAGUUCACAAGAAGGUCAUUGGAGUAAAAUAGGUGUUUCAAGCCAAGCAUAAUACUAAUGGAACUUUGAACAAGCUAAAAGCAAGGUUGGUUGUGAAGGGGUUUUGUCAGAAAUAUGGGAUUGACUACCUUGAAACAUUUGCACCAAUGGCAAGGCUUGAUAUAAUCAGAUUAUUGGUUGCAUUAGCUGCUCAAAGGUAAUGGAAAAUACAUCAACAUGACGUAAAAUCUAUCUUCCUCAAUGGAUUUCUUGAUGAGGAGAUAUAUGUUGAACAACCAGAAGGUUUUAAAGUUGCUGGUGAAGAAGACAAAGUUUACAAGCUAAAAAAGGCCUUCUAUGGCUUAAAAUAGGCACUAAGGGCAUGGUAUGACAGAAUUGACACGUAUCUAGCAAGCUUGGAGUUCGAGAGAAGCAUUAGUGAGCAAACACUAUAUGUAAAAAAGGAAGGUGAUGAAACACAGCUCAUAGUCUCCUUGUAUGUGAAUGACUUACUGGUAAUAGUAGGAAAUAACGCUAUGCUGUCUGAAUUUAAAAGCAAGAUGGAGACUGUGUUUGAAAUGUCAGAUUUGGGUGAAAUGUCCUGCUUCCUUGGCAUGGAAGUGUCUUCGACUCAACAAUGAAUUUUCUUAAGCCAAAAGGCAUUUGCCUUGAAAAUUCUGAAUAAAUUCUCCAUGCAAAAUUGCAAGGCAACUAGCACACCAGUUACUGUUGGAGAAAAAUUAUCAAGCCAAUGUGAUUUCGAGAAAAUGAAUGAAUCAACCUAUAGGAGCCUAGUGGGAUGUUUGCUUUACUUAACAGCCACAAGGGCAGGCAUAAUGUAUGCAGUUAGUCUCAUAUCUAGGUUCAUGCACUGUUGCAAUGUGAACUACUUUCAAGCUACAAAGAGAGUCCUCAAGUAUAUUAAAGGCACUCUGAGCUUUGGGAUGAUGUUUACCUAGGUUGACAGCAUGAAGCUCCUUGGUUUUGCUAACAGUGACUAGGCAGGAUUGAUAGAUGACAUGAAAAGCACCUUAGGGUAUCUGUUUACCCUUAGUUCAGCUGUUUUCUAUUGGAGAUCAAAGAAACAGUACAUUGUAGCUCAAUCAAUAGCUGAAGCAGAAUAUGUAACAGCUGCAGAGUAAUUUGGUUAAGGAAGAUCAUGGUAGAUAUAAACUUGCAUCAAAGAGAAGCAACAUAGAUCAAAUGUGACAACCAAUCUGCUGUUGCAAUUGCAAAGAAUCCAGUGUUUCAUGGGAAAACAAAGCAUUUUAAGAUCAAGUUGCAUUUUGUUAGGGAAAUGGAACAAUCUCAAGAAAUCAGACUGGUUUAUUGCAGUUCUGAAGAUCAGUUAGCAGAUUUCUUGACAAAGCAUCUUUGUGUGUCAAGGUUCAAGAAUUUGAGAGCCAAGUUGGGAGUUUGCAGCAUGGAAGCCAAGGAGGACUAUUAGAGGUUGGCUUACAUGCAGCUCUUGAGAUCGGGCCAUGCAAUUAGCAGCUAAAGCACAUGCAGCUGUCAUUUUGAUGUUUUUGAUGAUGUCUUGUUUUAGUUACAAUUGAACUAAGUUUGUAAUGAAUUUGUUGUAAUUUGGUGCUGAUAGAUUUGAUAAAUCAACUUAACCAAGCGUGCAAGCAAUGUUUUAUAAGUUUCAAGACAUUGUUAGUAGAGUUAGGUGUGUUUAGGUGACACUUUCAUGAUUUUGACAAAUUAAUUACUUGUUAUAUGUAAUGUUUGGUGUUUCAGUUGAUCAAUGAAUCACUUUUUAUCAAAAUUCUUGUUUCUGCUUUAAUCCAAGCUAUCUUUUCUUGUUCUUCUAGCCCGUGUUUCUUCUUUUGUUCAGCAAGUCACUAUUGCUUAAAGCUUAAGACUUUGCUGUAAUUGCUUAGUGAUAAGUCUCAAGUCCAACACAUGGUUUGUUGGUGGGAGUUUAUUUGUUGUCAGGUUUUCUAUGUUAUGGUUCCUGGUUUGUUGUUUGAUGAUUCGAUGGAUGGACGCAGAAGUUGGAGAAAAGAUAGAGUAUAAAUUGAGACAAAAGAUAAAAUAGUAAAGGCCAUUCUGUUUUAUUUUUCCAUAAUAUUAUACAAACAGUCAACCAUGUAUAUACACAUAGCACUGACAUGAUUGUGAAGGCCUACACACUUUCUAAUGGUUGUACUGGCUAUCAAAAUUUAUUACCAUAACAGUAGUAAAGGUAAUGCAGCAGCAGGCAGCACAUUAUUAUUUAAUUUUGAUAGCCUUAGUUACCAGCAUAGCUUGAUGAAGAAGCAAAGGCAGUUAUGCCUCUAACUCAAAUGAUGCCUUCAUUGUGGGUGAACGACUCACGGGAUCAAUUUCAAUAGAUGCAAUGUACCCAAACUUUGUAACUUUAAAUUUUGGUUUUCCUCUUUUCUCAAGGUUGGUUUUGAUUUGCCCCCAGUGAAUAGGUUGCCUUUGGAUAUCAGUAUAGACCUGCAGCAUGCACGCAAAUGGCAUGCAAAUGGUCAUAGAUUAAAUGAUUAUAUAUACGCAUUCUAACUAGUUAAUUAAUGAUAAGAUUGAAUUGAAUGCAACAAAUACCUUGCUGUUCUCAUCUAGUGGGUUGCUCCAGGCAACAACCCACUUGGUUCCAUCACGUCGCCUGUACACAAGACCAGCAACUGAACCAUGACUAUCAGCAUCAUCAGUCACUGAUUCAUGUGUAAACUCACUCGAAUCUCCAUCUUCAAUUAUUUCUGGGAAAUCCGCAUAAUGAGAGCCUUGCCAAACUUUCUUGUCAGUCAAGGUUAGAGCUUCGCUGGAAGAGUUCCAAAGCUUGCCGUUUGUGCAUUGUUGAGCUCUUUUCAUUUGAAAAUUAGCCAUGGUAGCUUUGUAUGUGCUUUGGUUAGCUAAAGUUUGUUUUGGUUGUGUUAUGCUUCAAAUAUUGCAAUACACACCUACUUAUAUACUAGUUUACACCAUGCAUGCAUUGUCCAUAACAACAACGUUUAUGCGCAUGAAAUUAUUUGACUUCAUUCACAUUAAAACUUUUUUAUAUUCUUUUUCCCUUUUUUUAUUCAUAUUCUUGAUGUGUCUUUUCACUUUUAAGUACAAAUUCUUGUCAAUUAAAGAAAUAUUUUUAAAGUAUUUGGAUUUUUUUGAUAAAGUAUUAUUUUUUAAAUUAAAUAAUUAACAAUAUAAAGGUAAACUACUUCCAUUAUGAUCUAAACUAUUAGUAAGUUUAUGUUUUGGUUACUCAAUUUAAAAAAACAAACUACAAAUUGAAUAUUAAACUAUUCAAAAAUUUUAUUUAAGUCACUGAGCUAUUAAAGUUAUUGUUGUAUGGCCUUCUCUAUUUGCACCACCUGUAUCUAUCAAAAGUUCUCAUUCCCCUUCUCUUCUACAAUUCACUUUCUUCUCAAGAAAUAACUUUUAACCUCGUGAAUCUGCGAACCAAAAUUCAAACAAAUUUUUUCUCCCAUCACUGACAUUGAUAGUCAAAUCAACUUGGAUCUAAAAUAUGUUCUACUACUUGUCAAUGGUUUUUGAUCCACCAUACCGAUCAUUAAAUCAUUACUUGAAGCUUGCUAGCAGGACUUUAAAAUAAAACUUUAAUAACCUAGUGACUUCAAUAAAAACUUUCAAAUAGUUCAAUGACCAUUUUAUAAUUAUUUAAAAUUGAAUAAAUAAAAGUUAAAUUUACUAAUAAUUUAAUAUGAAUAAAAUAUAAUUGUUGGGGACUCAAACUAAACUCACAUCACAUAAUUAAAUAAAUAAUUUCAGCGGAUGUAUUACAUAAAAAAAUUAGUACAUAAUAAAAAAAGUCAUCUCAAAAUUAAAAACUUCAAAAAUAUACUUAAAUCUUAAUUAUAUAUUUUUAAGAAUUAUUGAAAUAAUUUUCUUUUACUAACUAGUGUCAGUUGCUAGUACUUACACAACUCCAUGUACAUCAUUAUCCUGGUAACCUAAUAGUCACCAAAGCAUAAGUAUACAUAUAACUAGCGCGACUUAAACUCAAGCUACAAUUGAGAUGAAUACCUUUAACCAUCAAGCUAUUAUAUGAGAUUCAUAUUAAAUUUUAAUAUGUUAAUGAUAUGUUUGAAAUAUUUUUUAUAUUGAUACUGUAUUCAUAUUAAUAAUUAAAUAACUUUAAAUGUAAUUUAAUUUUAAUAACAUCAACCAUUUUUUCAUUAAACUUUGAAUCCCUUUGAAAAAAUAGUGAUUUGUGUAUUAAGCAUAAAUUUUUUGUUGGAAAAAAAGGGAAUAAAUUUUUUGUUGGAAAAAAAGGAAAAAAACUUUGCAUUUGAGAUGCUGAAAGGCUAAGGUAUUAAAGCAAUGAGACUUUUAGUAUGGAAAUGAAUUUUGUUAUAUUAUAAAAUAUGCUUGAAUGGAAAGUUUUGUUUUUAUUUUCAUUAUAACAAACUAAAAUGAAUUAAUAUAUUAACUAAUAAACAUGGCUAUCAAAUUGUUAAUUGAUUGGACCACUAGAGGUUCUUCUGCAUUCUUAUGAUGUGAUUCUGGUGUUUAGCUUUGUCUGAUGUUACUCCUUUGUUAUGUUGGAUCCUUGGAAUUUGCCUCAUGAUUUUUCUCAAACGCAUAAUAAAUUUUACUUAAUUUUUCGUCAAUUUAUAUUAAAAUAGAUAAAUAAAAGUUAAUAUCUGUUAACUUUGCUGAUAUCACACAUACGUGAAUGACGCAUUAACAAUAAAUUAAUAUUUUAAAAUUUCAAAAUUUAAAAUUAUUAAAAAAGUAUAUAAUAUAUUUUUAAUCUUUUAAAAAUUAAUCAAUUGCUAACGUAGUAUACAUGUGGCAGUCCAUGUAGACUGACGUUAACAAAUAAUAUAAGUUCAAAAAAUAAAAUAGACAAAAAUUUAAGUAGAAAUUUAAAAUAAUUUUUUUAUAAAAUUAAAAAGUCAAAUAAAUAAUUAAAAAAAACACGUAGAAACAUACAAGUAACAAUUUCAACAUUGAAGUUAUCUCUACAGAAAAUACGGAUCUGUAUAUUCUUAUUCAACCAUGAAUUCAAUAUAUAAUUUUUAACUUUAAAUAUGAGAUAAUAUUUGAUGCAUUGUUAGUUUUUAAGUUUUAUGUACCAUCAAUUAAUAAUAUGAAACAUCAUUACUGGUAUAAAAUAAAAAGUAUUGAAAGACUUGAAAAUAAAUACAUUUAAUUUUAUUUUUUUAUUUAAACAUAAUUAAAUAUUAGCUAUAAUUUUUAUUGAUCUUUCGGAUUUUAGAUUCCAAUUUCUUUUGGGUUUUUAUUGGAAAAUAUGGACAUCACAUACAUAAUAAGGAUAAUUGAUAGGUUAGCCUAAAUUAAAACUGAUCUAAUUUGGUUAGAAUUUUAUUGGGUUUUAAUUAUUAAAUAAAGUAUGGGUUAAAUAUGUGUAGAUACUCUAGUAAUUGAGUUCUAAUCAACUUCUAAUUAGAAUUUGAUUAGAAUUAAUAUGCCAAGGUCAUAAAUAUUAGGGUUAUGGUUCCCAAAUUAUACACAAUAUAUCUUUUCUAAUAUCUCAUCAUUAGGAAAGAGAGAGUAGAUAUUUUCUGAAUUUCUUGUGGAUCAAAUCCUCAAGAUAUGGUAAAAAUUUAAGGAAUUCAUGGAUUCAAGUAUGCUUCCGCAUGUAGUUUUGUUCUUGAUUUAUUCUUGAUGAUUUGACAUGAUAGAUCCUGGUUUAUUCAGUUUUAUUUUAGAUUUAUUUUAUAAAUCUAAUAAGUGGCAUCCGAGCCUCGUCAUGUUGACUCAUUAAGAACGAAUUAAUUCUCUAUUUUUUUUGAUUCAUUUAUUUUUUAGAUUUUAUGAAUUUAUUAUCUCAAUUAUAAACAUUAAAUCUUUUAAAUUUAUAUUAAAUAUUUUAGGGUUUGAAAUAGAAAUUGGGCAAGUGAUAAUGCUUAUGAGGAUUUAUGUUGAAAUUUUAGGGUUUUAAAUUUUUUUUAUGAAUUUGGUUUUUGAGGAAAUUGUUGUGUGAAUCAAAUUAUAGUUUAUUUAUAUUUUUAGAUUAAAGUUUUGUUAAAAGUUGAUAUUGAUGCUUGCGUUUCAUUACGAAAUCAGACACAUUGAUUUUUCUUUAAUAAUUAUGCAUCUAUUUAAAAUAUAUAUAUAGAAAUUGAUAUAUGUUUCGUUUAUAUAUAUAUAUAUAAUAUGCAUGCUUUAAUUGGUUUAAUGCAUGUUGUUUUGGAAAAUUAUAUAAAUAUAUAUGAUUAUCUUUUAAUUUGAUUGAAAGAUGAAAUUAAGGUAAAUACUUUGAAACAAAUAAAUUCAGAUUUUAGCUUUUAAUUAAGGAUGUCUACUAUUUUAAAUAAAUUAGUUGAAAUAAAAUGCCACCAAAAUGACAUCUUUUGUGUAGAUUAGUUUAUUUGAAAUAUUAAGAUGAUUAUAUGUUUUUAUGAUUCAUGCGUUUAUUGAUUGACCCAAAGUUAAAUUAAUAUUUGACAGAAUUUCAACGACAUAUGUGGUGAUAAAUGUGUGACAAUUUUAAGGUAUUUUAUGUGAGCAAUAAGUUAGUCCAAAGAUUAAUUCACGGUUUGACAUAAUUUAUUGUCAAUGUUUGAUUGCUACAACAAGAGUACCGCUUACUGUUAAUAUUACUGUCCAAAGCUUUGAUAUUAAUGUUGUGUUUGGUAUCUUGUGAUGGGAUUAGUCAUUAUCUUGAAUUUAUUAUUUACUUAUGAAUAUUGAUUUAAGCUUGUUUUUGUUCUAUAUUUAGCUAAUUCAUCUUCUACUGCCACAAUAUCUGCUAAUAUAAAUUCUAUACCUAUGCUUAAUAGGACUAAUUUUAAGGAAUGAAAAAGGAACUUACUUAAAGUGCUUGGUUGUAUAGACAUAGACCUUACACUAAGGGAAGAACAAUCUGCACCUCUCACUGUGGAAAGCACCCCUGGUGUUAAGAGGGAUUUUGAGAGGUGGGAUCGUUCAAAUCGCAAGAGUCUAAUGAUCAUGAAACACAGCAUUUUAGAAGCUUUUAAGGGCACAUAAUCUGAAAGAUUACUCAGGCCAAGGGUUUCAUUGAUGAAAUUGAAAAAUCUUUUGCUAAAAAUGAUAAGAUUUAGAUGACAUCACUUCUGACUUCUUUGAUGUUUAUGAAGUAUAAAGGUCAAGGAAACGUAAGGGAGUACAUUAUGAAGAUGUUCCAUACUGCUUCAAGACUUAAGACACUUAAGAUCAAACUUUCUGAGGAAUUGUUUUUUCUUAUGGUUUUGGUAUCGCUUCCUGCCCAGUUUAAUCAAUUUAAAAUUAGUUAUAACUGUCAAAAGGAGAAAUGGAUCCUAAAUGAGUUCAUUUCUCAUUGUGUGCAAGAGGAAGAAAGGUUGAAGGAUGAUAAGUCUAAAAGUGUUCAUUUGGCCAAUGCCCCUAAAGAUAAGGGCAAUAAAAGAAAAUAUCAGAAUAAAGCUGCUAAAGGUCUAGCUCAAAAGAAACAACAAGAAGCUAUAGAGAGUUGUUUCUUUUGUAACAAGUCUGGACACGUAAAGAAAGAUUGUACCAAAUAUCAUGCUUGGCAUGCAAAAAAAGGUAUAAUUCUUAAUUUGGUCUAUACUGAGAUUAAUUUAGCUUUAAUACCUAGAAACACUUGGUGGAUAGAUUCUAGUGCUACUACUCACAUAAGUUUUUCUAUGUAGGGUUGCCUAAGUUACUGAAAGCCAAGUGAUGGUGAAAGACACAUCUUUGUGGGCGAUGGAAAAUCAGUAGAAGUGGAAGUGAUUGGGAAUUUUAGGUUGUUACUAGGAACUGGUUUUUAUUUGGAUUUAAAAGACACUUUUAUUGUACCGUCAUUUAGACAGAAUUUAGUUUCUAUUUCUUCGUUGGACAAAUUUGGAUAUUAUUGUUCAUUCAAAAACAAUCAAUUAAUUUGUCUUUAAAUUCAAAUGUUAUUGGAACUAGUUAUUUAAAUACUUAUGACAACCUUUAUUUUCUAGAAACAGUUGCAUCCUAGAAUGAAACCUUGCAUGUGGAAUCACAUGGUAUUAAACACAAAUUAAAUAAGGAAAACUCAUCAUCAUUAUGGCAUAGGUGCUUAGGUCAUAUCUCAAAAGUUAGAUUUGGAUACCUUGUGUUUGAUGGAAUUUUAGAGUCCCUUGACUUCACAGACUUUGAUGUAUGUGUUGAUUGCAUUAAGGGAAAAUAGACCAAAACCAAGAGAUUAGGUGCCAACAGAUCUUCAGACGUCUUAGAAUUAAUUUAUACAGAUAUUUGUGGGUCAUUCCCUAUGGCAUCCUAGAAUGGUCAAUAAUAUUUCAUAACAUUGAUAGACGAUUAACCACGUUAUGGGUACCUAUAUCUCAUUCAUGAGAAAUCUUAGUCUUUGGACAUGUUCAAAGCUUAUAAAGCUAAAAUUGAGAAUCAACUCAAAAAAAGGACUAAAAAUGUCAGAUUAAAUCGUGGUGGUGAGUACUACGGUAGAUAUGAUGGCUUAGGAGAACAAUGUCUAGGACCAUUUGCGAAAUUCCUAGAGAAAUGCAGUAUUGUCCCACAGUACACCAUGCUAGGAUCAUCUAGUAUGCCUGGUGUAGCUGAAAGAUGAAACAUGACUCUUAAGGAUAUGGUAAAGAGCAUGAUUGCUCAUUCUACCUUACCUGAGUCCCUCUGGGGAGAAGCAUUAAAGAUAGCAGCUUACAUUCUAAAUAGAGUACCGAAUAAAGCAGUUGCAAAAACACCUUAUGAGCUUUGGACAGGUCAAAAACCUAGCCUAAAGCACUUUCACACUUUGGGAUGUCUAUCUGAGGCAAGGCCUUAUAGGCUACAUGAAAAGAAAUUGGACUCCAAAACAGUAAGCAACUACUUUAUUGGUUAUUCUGAGCGAUCUAGGGGCUAUAAAUUUUAUGAUCCCAUAAUAAGGAAUAUUUUUGAGAUUGGAACUACAACAUUUUUUGAGGAUGUUGAGUUCGGGGAGAAAUAAGGUUAGAGACAUUGCUUUUGAGGAAGAAUUGGGUUCUAACUCAAUUCCUACUAUCUUUUUUUAUGAUUUUUAGGUUCUUAUACCUAUCAUUGAUCAAGAAGUGAAUCUAGAACCUCUAUAAGACAAUGUUGAACAACUCCUCAUUCAAAAUGAGGUGAUUGUUCCAGAAGAACAAACUCAACAACCUCAAGAACAAGUGUCAUUAAGUAGGUCUACAAGAGAAAGGAGAAAUGUUAUUCCAGAUGAUUAUAUUGUAUUUCUCUAAGAACAUGAGGAUGAUAAUGGAAUGAUGGAAGAUGAUACAAUCAACUUUCAUCAAGCCAUGAAAAGUUCUAAUUCUCAAAAGUGGAUUGAUGCCAUGAAAGAUGAGUAUAAAUCUAUGCAAGACAAUAAAGUUAGGGAACUUGUCCCAUUACUUGAAGGUGCAAAACCAAUUGGUUGUAAAUGGAUAUUUAAAACCAAGAGGGAUACAAACGGUAAUGUGGAGAGGUAUAAGGUGCGUCUUGUAGCUAAACGAUAUACUCAGAAACAAGUUAUUGAUUUUACAGAGACUUUUUCUCUAGUUUCAUCAAAACACUCCUUCAGGAUAAUCAUGGCGCUUGUUGCUCAUUUUGAUCUUUAGUUAUAUCAGAUGGAUGUUAAGACUACGUUUCUUAAUGGCAACAUUGAAAAAAUAAUUUAUAUGGUGCAACCAGAAAAUUUUGAGUCGGAAGAUUCAAAGAAUAUGGUUUACAAAUUGACAAAAUCCAUUUAUGGACUCAAACAAGCUUCCUUUUUAUGGUACCACAAGUUUCAUCAAAUAAUUAUUUCGUUCGAUUUUGAGAUGAAUAUUGCUAAUAAUUGUGUGUAUCACAAAUUCAAUGGGAGUAAGUACAUCUUUCUGGUUCUUUAUGUUGAUGACAUUUUGCUUGCCGCUAAUGAUAUAGGCUUAUUGCACAAAACCAAGAGGUUUUUAUCUAAGCAUUUUGAGAUGAAAGAUCUUAGGGACGCCACUUUUGUUUUAGGAAUUCAAAUACAUCGAGAUCGAUCUUGAGGUAUUCUUGGAUUAUCACAAAAGAUUUAUAUCAAUAAAGUACUCAAAAGGUUUGGCAUGCGGAGUUUUAGACCAAGUGACACCCCUGUUGCUAAAGGAGACAAAUUUAGUCUUACUCAAUGCCCUAAAAGUAACCUUGAAAUUCGGGAAAUGAAAAAGAUUCCCUAUGCAUCAACUAUUAGGAGUUUAAUGUAUGCUCAAGUAUGUACGCGUCCGGACAUUGCAUACAUUUUUGGGAUGUUAGGCAGAUAUUUAAGCAACCCUGGUAUAGACCAUUGGAUAGUAUCCAAAAGGGUUAUGAGAUAUCUUCAGAGAACAAAAUAUUACAUGCUUACUUAUAAGAGAUCAGAUUUUUUGGAGGUUGUAGGGUAUUCUGAUUCUGAUUUUGUCGGGUGCCAAGAUAGUAGGAAAUCUACAUCAGGCUAUAUUUACCUAUUAGCUGAAGGAGCUAUAUCUUGGAAAAGUGUCAAACAGACACUUGUAGCUUCGUCCACUAUGCAGUAGAGUUUGUAGCAUGCUAUGAGGCAUCAAACCAUGGAAUAUGGUUGCGAAACUUUGUCACAGGGAUGCACAUUUUGGAGAAUGUAGAAACAACACUCAAAUUAUUUUAUGACAAUAAGUCAGCAGGGCUGUACAUGAGUUCAUCUAAGUCAAAGCAUAUUAACAAAAGUUUCCAUCUCUUUAUUCAUUUUUAUAGGCUUUACUUUUGUUAGGAUUUGUCUUUCAACAAAAUCAAUUUCAUAUGGUAAUGUUACUUCAUGCUUUUUCCUAUUCCAAAAGGCAUUAGAGAUGUUAGAAUAUAUUGUUGACUCGAUUUCUGUUUUGAUUUGAUUUAUUCUUUUUUGAUCUUUUGUUUUUUCUAAUUGUUCAUUUAAUUUUUUUAAAACAUAUUUCUUCUUUAAGAAUAAAAAAUUAUUCUAUUUAUGAUUAAUUAAAUUAUUGAUUCGUAAUGAAUAAAAAUGUUAAUAAGUUAAGAUUUUUAAUAUUGUGAUUUGUUACUUUGUAAGGUUUGAGUAAAGAUAUAAAGGGGUUCCUAAUAUAAUGUCUUAGGUAAUAUCUUUUAUCAUUAAAAAACAUGUUUGAUGUUUGAUAUCUUUAUUACAAAUUUCUACAUUAGGGAUUUUGAUAUGUGUCUUGAUUUUCCACAUCUAUAACAUUUUAUCGUUUUAUCUUUUUUUUUCGAUUUUUGUUGUUUCUGUUAUUUACUAUAUUUCCUAUACUUUGAUUUUUUUUAUAAUAUUCUGAAAUAUUCUUUCAUAUAUUUUUUCAUUUUAUAGGGAAACAUGUUUUUGAAGAAGAAGGUUCAUUUCUAAUGUCAAAUUGGUGGCAGAAUGAUAGGCAAUGGUAGCAAUUUAAAAAUUCUCAUAGUAGAAACCCCUUGUAGGAAAUAAGAAAAUAAAAUGAUGUUUCCUUAGAGAACCAAUUCUUCUACAAGCUUUACCUCUAACCAAUACCAAGAGUUUGAUCAAACCUCAAACAACAAUGUUAAUGAAUAAGAACAUUAUGAAAAUGUUCACCGAUGUAUACUAUUUUUAAACCCUUCAAAUUUUUAUUUUACACUAGUAAUAAUGUGUCAUUUUAUUAUCACUUGAUGGUACAUAAAAUCUAUGCACCUAUGGUUAGGGGUGAACAAAGCUCGAUUCGAUUUGAAAAAAUUGAAAAAAAAAUCAAAUUUUGAGUAAUUCGAGUUUCGAGUUCGAGUCGAGUUGAAUUUUACAAUUCGAAUAAUAGAUUGGUGUAAAUACCCCUUUAAUCCAUGUCAAUUUUGAAAAUGAGCAAAUUGAUCUCUCUCAACGAAAAAUACAAAAUAACUCAAAAUAAUUUUUAAAAUUCAAAAUAUUUAUAAAAAUUCCAAAAUUUAUAUUUUUAAAAAAUAAAAAUAUUUCUAAAAAAUAUAUAAAGAAAUUUAAAAUUUUAUUUUUUUCUAAAAUAAUAAAUUUAGAGACCUAAAUAAGUUAAUUAAUGAUUCAAGUUUAUAAUUCUAAAGUAUCUUAUUAUUAUUAUUAUUAUUAUUAUUAUUAUUAUUAUUAUUAUUAUUAUUAUGCUUUGAAAAAGUUUUCAAAUAUAUAUAGUUUCAAUUGUAGGUGUUCUAGCAUUAAAUUAAUUAUACUAUAGCAAAAUUUUAAUUUGAUAUAUUUAAUUUUUUAAUUAACUGAACAAUUUCACUUGAUUCGAUUCGACUUGAAUUUCAUUUCACUCAAUUCAAUUUGAAAAAAAUUAAUCAAAUUAGAAUGAUAAAAUAGGAUUUAUCAACUUGAUUAACUUGAAUUUUUUUUACUAGAUUCAAUCGAACGCUAACCCCUACCUACGGUACAUUAAAUAUUCUCCCUAUAUUAUUAUUAUUAUUAUUAUUAUUAUUAUUAUUAUAGUUUUGGCUUUAUUUUAUUUGCACUUUGUAAUGACGUGAGAUAUUUCUAAGAUUACAAAUUAUUAUUAUUAUUAUUAUUAUUAUUAGCCAUAAAAACAUAAAAACUUUAAUUAUAUCAGAAAAUACAAAAAGUUAUGGUAAAAAACUUGACUCAGAAGUACAAGAGAGCCACAACUACCUCACUGUAAAACUAACUUCAAUAUCAGUUCGAAGGGGGAGUAGGAAAUUCAUCCUUGUCAAGAAUGAACACCAAAGAAGUUGGUGGUUGUCAAGUCCAACCUGUAACGCCUUGAAUAGUUUAAAUAUAUUUUUGUGAAAUUUGACAUAAAGGUGUAUUUGCUCAGUAGUUAAGUGUUUUAGGUGUGUGUAUCAGGUCUUGGGUUCAAGUCUCAUAUUUGGGGAAAAAAUUUAUUAUUAUUUAUUCAAGCAUUAUCCCUGUUAGGCAGGCUUAUAAAAUAUUGUUUGUUAAUCUAUAUCAAAAUGAGCCUGCUUGUUUGAGUGGUAAGGACUUAGUGUAUUGGAGGUCUUGUGUUUGAAUCUGUGCGUGAGUGUGAGUGUUAAUUUUUAUUUCUGUUGCCUGAUAGAGGUUCGGUGGAACUGGAACUCUGAGGUUGUUGGAUGAGAAUCUGAUGUCAGUUUUGGUGGGAUUUGUUGUUAGUGGGUUAGUCGGGGGAGUUAGGAUUUUCGUUAAUUUUGAUUUAUUUUACUUUUUUUUUAAAAUUUUUAUCUUUUCCCAAAAACCUCUCCCCUUUUUAAUUUUUUUUGUUUCCCACUAUCAAUUUUCUUUCUUUUUCAUCUUAUCGAUUUCUAUCUUCAUCUCCCUGUUAAAUUACAGUGCUUCGAUUCCCUUUUUUUGUACGUUUGGUAAGUGGUGGUAGUAAGGUUUUUGCUUGAGUUAAGGAGAAUUCUUUUAAAUCCGUUUAAAAAUGAUGUUGUCUUUUUCAUUAGUUCUAAUUUUUGGGUUGUUGGCAGCAGCGAAUCGGCAGGAUCGGAGCUCUCUUCUUGUGGAAUCGUAAUAUCGAGGAUCAUUCGGGAAGUUGGGUAAGUAAUGAACGCUUGGGUCUCGCUGUGAUCAAUUUAUUAUUUUGAUUUAAUUGAGGAUGCAAGACUAAUUUUGGGACGUGCUUUGUCGAUUUUUAGGUUCUUGUGGUCUCAGGAUUGUUUUCACAGCAAAAACAAACCAGGUGUGCACCUUAAACACGAAAAUUGAGGUUCGAAAAAAGCCGAAAAAUUGCACUGUUGACGCCACACGGGUGUGCACCCAGCUGUAUGGUUGGCCAUGUAUAAGACACAGUCGUGUGACUGACGAAGAUGUGGCCGUGCACAUGACACGACCUUGUGUCAGUGUGAGUGUAGUCGUGUGGGCCACACUAGCUAAGUCAGAUUGGGCGUGUGGGUUUAGGGUCAGGCCAUGUAGGCCACAUGAGCAAGGCCAAUCUAGGAGUGUGGGCCUACGUGGGCAGGCCACAUAGGCAUGUAGGCCCAGAAUUUUGAAAUUUUCCCUAGGGUCGCACGGGUCGUUUCGAUUGACUGUGGACCUACUGUAAGGUCGGUAAAGGCUAACCAAACCCUAAUUCAUGUGAUCUGAUAUUUUGAUAAUCUGAUUUGAGUAGGACAUUGAUAUGUAUGUAUGACUGUUCUGUUUGAGUAUAUAUAUAUGUUAUCUGUAUACAAGCAUGUUAGGCAUGUUAAUUCUGCUAAUUUUGAAUUUUGUAUCUGUGUUUGGGGAGAGAUUUGUAUAUGUAGAGGAAGUGAUCUAUAUGGCGACAUUUCGCCUAUAUUCUGGUAGAUCGACUACAUAUUAUCUAUGAUAUGUCGCAUCGACACUAUAUGGUAUGUAGGGAUGGUUGGGUAUUUUUAACCCCAUAUGAUGUGAUGGGAUGGAUGGAGAUGGUGUGUAGAGGAUGGGUGUAACGCCUUGAAUUUUACACCCAAAAGUUUAGAGAUUUGAGCAUAGGGGCAGUGGGGAGACUGCACAUAAAUGAUUAGUUGUGCACUCAAGUGACAAGAAUGGGCCUGUUGGUCUGGUGGUUAAGUGAGUCUUAGCAUACCUUGAAGAUCCGGGUUCGAGUUACGGGAGGCAUUUUUUUUUAGAGUCAUUGUUUUAUUUUUGUUUGUUUUAGUUAAUAAAUAUUUAGCUAUUAUAUUUUGUAAUUGUAUAUUGCUAUUUUUAUUUUUGUUUUGGACGUUCUUCUGUUUCUCUUUUUGGUUUUUGUUUCCCUUGCUUUUCUUUUUGAGGAUUAUUCGGAUUGCUUUUGAAAGUGAAUUGUCUAUGGAUUUUGGGAUUUGCACUCCUCCUUCGACUUCUUCGUCGUUGGGUCCAAUCACAACACAGGUGUGGGAUUCAAAUCUGGUUUACCUUUUCUUAUUAAUUGAUAUUUCAUUUUUUUGAAUUCCUUUCUUUCAGCUUUUCGUAACUAUACAUUAACCCCAUUCAUUUUUGGGUAUUGAGACAUUGUAAGAGAGGGGAAAGCACUAGUAUCUGAUGUACUCUUGGUGUGGUUAAGGUUAGGGACUAUUAUGGUGGCUUAAACGACGGUUUUGGACUAAUUUUGAGUGGUUUCGUGACCUCCCCGAUGACCACAUGGCUGUAUAACUCGGCACACGGCCGUGUGGAUUUAGGAACUAGGGUUUCGGGAUAAAUUGGGUACCAUACGGCCGUGUGGCUGAUUUGGGGAUUUUAUCAGAAUUCACACGAUCGUGUCCCUUCGGCACACGGGCGUGUGAGUUAGAGAAUUAGGGAUUUUGGAUUCGGAGUCAUAUGGAUGUGUGGUUGAUUUGAGGAUUUAAAGAUCCCACACGGGCAUGUGUUUCAGAACACAUGGCUGUGUCUGGUGGGCAUAUGGGCGUGUGAGACCCUCACACAGUAAUGUCUCCCCUGCACUUUAUUUUAGCGAUUUUUGACAAUGUUACAUGACCUGUUCACACGGCCGUGUCUGUAAUAUCCCGAAUUAGGGCCUAAUCGGAAUAGUGGUUUUGUGACCACAAAUCCGAGAUAGAAAUAAUUAUUUUAUAAUUAUUUUGAUGAUUAUGAUAUGAUUGCAUGAUUGUGUGAAAAUUUCGUGAUGAAAUUCUAUGCCUAAAGUGCUUAAAUUGAAAGUAAGGACUAAAUCGAAUAAGUUGCAAAACUUGCAUUCUAGAAGUUUUUUGUAUGAAAUUGUUUUGGAAUAUUAAUGAGGAGGUCUUAAAUAGCAAUUUGACCAAUUUUAAGUUCAUGGAAAAAAUUAGGACAUGGAAGGAAUUUUUGGAAAGUUUAGUAGUAAGGGUAUUUUGGUCAUUUAGUUAUUAAAAUGAAUUAAAAACAAAAUUAAAAGCCAAUUUUUGUCCAUCUUCUUCAUUAGGCCGAAAUUUCAAGGGUUCUCCAUAGCUAGGGUUUGUUUCAAGCUUCCAAGCUCCAUAGUAAGUGAUUCCAAGCCCCGUUUUUAAUGUUCUUUACGUUUUUGGAAUCCCGGUAGCUCGAUUAAGCUUAUGUUAGCAAUAAUUCAACCUAGGGUUUAUAUUUGGAAAAAUACCCAUAGGUGAAAUUUGUGUAUUUUGAUGUUUUAUGAUAGAAUAUGGGGUUUUAAAUUAUGUUAGACAACUUGUACUACUCGAUUUUAAGCAAAAACGAGUAAAAGGGCUUAAUCGGUAAAAAUACCUAAUAGUCACAAGUACAUGUUAGAGUGAGAAUUUGAUGUUGCCAUAGAAGAGAAAAGUGAUCAGCAUGUUGUAAAACAUAAGAAUAAGGAAUAAAGUUUAAUCCCGAGCCUAGGGGCAAAAAUGUAAAUAUGCAAAAGUUUAGGGGAAAAAUUGUAAUUUUGCCAAAAUUUGAGUUAAGGAUUAAUUUGAUAAUGUGGGUAUUAAAUGAGCUAAAUGUGUUAUUUUAGAUCAAGAAAGACGUGGAAUCGACCUCAAUCAAGGAAAAGAAAAGAUUGUGGACUAAAUUGCAAAAUCUUUAUAUUUUGGUACCAAGGUAAGUUCAUGUGUAAAUGUAGUAACAUAAUUGUCAUUUUAACCAAUUUAAUGUUGUUUAUAUGAUAUGAUGCUGAUUAUUAUCAUGAAAUAUUAUGCUUUGUGGUUAUUGUUGAAUAAUAUGUAAUUAUGUGAAUUACUUGAUGAGUAUGAACUAUCACCGAAGUACCGAUUUCGAUAUUCCGUGGAAGACGGCAAAGAUGUGUGAUCGAGGAAAACGCCCGUUUGAACCUUAGGAAUAGAUUAGGAUACAAGUGACAUGUCACUAGGAUGGUUGAGCAUCCAAACUCGUUGAGUUGAGUCCGAGUUCACUUAUGGAUGCGAAUGUCCGAACUCGUUGAGUUGAGUCUGAGUUCGUGAAAUGUAACUAGGCAUCCGAACUCGUUGAGUUGAGUCCGAGUUCACUUAUGGAUGCGAACGCCCGAGCUCGUUGAGUUGAGUCCGAGUUCACUUAUGGGCGGGUUACAUGGUAGCUUGAUUACAUAUGAGGCUCUUAUAUGCAAAUUAUCCAUGUAUCCGAAUUAUAUUCCGAUGUGUUCAACGGGUAAAGUUUUACUCAAAUAGAGGAAUACUCGAGAUGAAAAGAGACGUAUUGGUAAGUGAUGAGAAAUGGAUAUUUUGUACAGGUAUGUAUUUAACCCUCGGGUUGAGUGUUGAUUACAACCACGAUAAGGUAAUAAGAUGAUGGAAAAUGAUUAAAAAAUGUGAUAAGUGUGUUGAUGAUAUAUGCUAAUGUUGAUUAGUUUGAUUGUUUGUUAUGUUAUUUAUUAUUUACAUAUGAACUUACUAAGCAUUUAUGCUUACUCCCUCCUUCUUACUCAUUGUAGUUUUGGACAAGCCAGUUCAGGAGUCGGGAUAGGUUGAAGGCUCAGUCACACUAUCAGGAAGAUUUUUGGUAAAUGGCUUGUAAAUUUAAGUAUGGCAUGUAUAGCAAUAUACUUAUUUUGUGUAAAUGAUCUUAUGAUAUGGUGACAGAAUGGUUGAGAAAAUAUUUGAUAAUGAUAAAUUAUGAAAAUGGUAAGUUUAGAUUAUGUUUGAUGUUAAGGAAAACUAUUAUGAUACUUAGUGCAUAAAAACUCAUAAGAGGGAUGAAAUUUGCCAUAAACAGAAUACUGCAGCAACACUGACCCGAGUUUGAAAAUUUACUAAAAAUCAUAGCAAUUAAAUUUGGUGAUGGACUACAUAUCAAAUUUAAGCUUAUUAUGUCUAGUGUCACAUGAAACAAAUGAAACAGGUAAAGGAAUUAUAUGUUAGAAGAUAUUUGAAUUUUAGUGAAACAGGUUCAUAGCAGUUUCUGAAUCCCCUGCUCCUACUUUAGAAAUUCACCAUAAAUUUUAAAGAUAUAAUUAGGUGGUGUAUUUUAUAUCCUAAGAAUACUUAUUGAGUCUAGUUUUAGGAGAAACAAACCUCAUAGUCAUAUGAAUUUUUUACAUAGAGAAAUGUGGUUCAUAGUAAAUAGAGGUCAGACCAGUCAAGUCCUGAAAUAGGGGUAACUUUAACUAAUAAACUGUACUAAUUGGCCCAUUCAAAAAUUUUAUAAAAAAUUAGUAGAUAGGUAUAUGAGUCUAGAUUUAGGGAAAAUUUACGGAUCUUGAUUUCGAGUUUCGUAACUCGAGAUAUGAUUUUUCUUGUGACUGUGACGCAAGUAGCUUAAAAGCUGUGAAUAUAGAAACAAAUAAUCCAAAGUUCUAAAAAUGUUAAAUUAAGCUUAGUAACACCUCAUACUCGACUCCGGCGACGGUCUCGGGCGUGGGGGCGUUACAGUGUCCCCGCUUCACACAAGCGUGUGCCUCUAUCACACGGGCAUUUGGAUCACCACACGGCCUAGUUUGUCCCACACGACCGGGGCACACUGGCAUGUGGCCCUAUUUUGCUAGAUUUUGGUUUUAGGGCAAAUGUAAGUGCAAUUGGGACCUUGUAUGUUUCAACCCUUAGCUAAGCUUUAGUGAGGGUGUUUAGACUCUAAUCUGAGUUUGGAUAAUGUGUUAUUUGUGAUUGGUUGUGUGACAUGUUUGAUUCUGAACUUGGUUAGCUGGGUGAGUGUGUGAGCAACUAGUUCUAUCUGACUGUCUGACUACGUGUUAUCAAUAUGCGAGGUUAUUUUGUAAUUGAUACUGAACUCAAGUAAUGAGUGUGCACAUUUCUGAUUCUGAUUGACCAUAUAUGAGUGACUGUCUCUGGUUAACUAUCUGGAAAUUGAUAUUUUGAGUUUUGUGCAUCUGUCUGUAUACAUACAUUUGCAUGAAAUUGUUUUGGGUGGGACUUUGAAGAGAAGGAAGAUUGACUAAACUAAACUGUUAGCUAAUCUUUUGGUUAUUAGCCUUAAUACCCAGAGGGUUAUGGGCGGUCCCAAUACCCUGAGGGUCGUGGACAAUUUGACUGUACUGCGGACUACUACAUUAUACAGAACAUGCAUCAGUAUCGCUGCGUAUCAUUGACUGAACUAGAAGUUUUAUUACAACCUAAUAGUAUAGCGGUUUACCGUAUUGCGCUGUACCGCAUGUACGUUAGCUACGCUACGUACAACUAUUUGAUCUGGCAGUUUAUACUGCAUGUCUGUACCGCGGUUUAUCGCAUUGCAUGAUACAGCUUAUACUCUAGCUUUGCUGCAUAAUAUACGUGACUGGCAGUUUAUCUACAUACUGUUAGCCUCAAUACCCAGAGGGUCAUGGGUAGUCACAAUUCCUUGAGGGUCAAGGACAAUCCUGAUGGCCAAUGUUGCCGGAUAACCCGGGAUGACAUCAAUUGGAGUGCAGGGUUGGAUGGUCCUUACGAGGUCCAGAGUUGAGUGAUUGGUGGGAUGAGUUUAAAGCUCUUAUGAGGAGUAAUGAGGGACGAAGAGGUGUGUUGGCUAGAUAGGUGGGUUUCUCAUAACUCAAUUACAUUCAUAUGCAUCAUAUUGACUGCUCGACUGAAAUGUCUGAUUGACGGUUCGAUUGAAAGGCACUUGUGCCUAUGAGAAUUGUGUAGACUUUGACUGUAACUGUCUGACUAGAUAGUUCUUAUCACUGUUGAGAAUUACUGCUACUGUGCCUGAAUGGUACGUGAAACUGUGUGCGUCUGAUUGACUCAUAUGACUGUAAAGUAAUAUGGUGUAUGAUUGAUUUUGGGCGAAUUCGCUCAACUGUCAUCUGUCUGUCUGUAUGUUUUGCUUUUGAACUACUUCUAGUUCCCUAUUUUCGUUUUUGUAGUUUAAUUGGUUUGUUCUCACACUAAGCUUGAGUAGCUCACCCCCUCUUUUUUUUCCCCUUUUAGGUACAGUUUUGGAUUCUGUUGAUGGGAUCAGUACGCGAAGGUCUCAGACAGUCUCAGUGAAAGUGGAAUAUUAGUUUGUGAUUUUCAGUUUUUUUUUAUUCGUACUGUAAGAUUUUAUAAUAUUAUGGUACAAUUACUAUUUUAAACUUUUAUUCGUACAUGUUAUUCUCUUGUGGAUGGAAUUUUAAACAAUUAAACGUUUUGAUUUGUUUUAAGAUAAAAAUUGUCAGAAAUGGAAUUUUGAACGACUUGUUUUUGUAGAAAUCUUCUCAGGAUUGCUUUGGUGAUCAAUGUAGUAUUUCGAAUUCAGUCUUUACUUCUAGGCCGGGUUUGGGGUGUUACAAGGGGGGUAGGAUUCUGAAUAUCCAUUCUGUUUAUCUGAUUCUGAUAUCUGUAUCUAUUAUGGACUUAGGUCCGAAUCUGUAUCUGACUGUAUAUGAAAUAUGGUGUAUGUUACUUGGCUAUUUCUGUUGGGUUACACAGUGAGUUUACGAAAACUCACAUUUUUUUGUCUAUUCUGUUCAGAGGUAAUCUAUAGACUUAAGCGGGUUAGUGCGACAGAGGCUCAACAGUGACCACUUGACUGAGAUUUGUUUUUAUUUAGUAAUAAUGGUUUAUUUUAAAAUCUGGUUUUCUUAAGAGUUUGUAAUUUUUUGGGACUCUCUGGACUGUAUGAUUUUAACUUUUGGAUUUGGAUUUUGUUUUGUAUUUUUUUCCGCAAUGUUGACAAAAACACUAUGCAAACAAAUGGUUUUAACAAAUAGUUUUUAGAAAAACGAGCUUGGUUUUGUUUAAAAUGAUUUUGAAACUUCUACUUUGAAAUAAACAGUUAAUUUUAAAGAACAACUCAAAAUAGUUUUAGUAAUGUAUAUGUAUAAAUGAAUAUGUUAUAAUACCUAGAUGAUUUAACUAAUAACUAAACAUGAUUUUAUCGAAGUAUUUUCAGUUUCAAAACCCUUCAUCGUAACAUUCCUAGAUUCAGCCAUAACGUAUAGGCUGUGUUUGGGGUAUUACAUUUAGUGGUAUCAGAGCUAGGUUACAAAACUCAGGCUGUAAAUUUUGAGUUUCAAAAUUGUAUUUCAAAAAAGAAUUGGUUGAUAAUUUAGAUCAUUUUGAGUAAGUAUAUGGUACACCGAGUCUCCGGCGCCAAUACUCUAAGUAUCUCUAAAUUUAGAAAACACUAAAUUAGUACUUUUUAAAAUUGUACUAAGUUAGUUAGAGACUAAAGCCUCUGAAAUACUUCUGAACUUCUGAUAAAUUAAGUAUAAAAUAUCUGCUAAUAAAUACUGGAACUGAUGCAUAAAAUUCUAUAAUAUAGAUAAAAUUGAAAAUACGAUGAGCGCUCGUGGAACUCACGGUCGUAUUAUUUGUGGUUGUGGUGGGUGUCGUAGGAGGGCUCGAGCUAAGUAUUCUUCUCUGUGUAGUAUGCCAAAUUUAAACACAAGUGAGACACUAGUUUCACUUGCUAUUGAGACUGGGCCUCAAAGCCGCUCGGCGGGGGACGACGCAUUGUCCCAAGCCAUGUUGAGAGUAUUGGAGAGGGUCGUUGGACCCCAUUCUAGAUCUGGGGUUCGUAGGUCGGUAAUUGAAAUACUUCAGUCCAAUGAAGCUAAGUUGUUUAGGGGCGUCACUAGAGUCGCCCCUACUGUGGCUGAGUAUUGGUUAAAGGCCACUGAGAGGAUUAUGAACGACAUUGAAUGCACUCCUAAGAAGAAAUUGAAGGGUGCAAUCUUUUUGCUUCGUGACAAAGCUUAUCAGUGGUAGUUGUCAGUUGAGGAACGUACUCAACCAAAUCAUCUGAACUGGGACUAACUUAAGACUGCUUUCUAAGGAAAAUAUGUGGGUACAAUUUAUGUUGAUGCUCGUAGGCGUGACUUGAGCUUAUGAAUCUCAUGCAAGGUGAUAUGUCUGUGGCCGAGUAUGAGGCCGAGUUUCUAAGAUUGAGCUGCUACGCUCGAGCUAUGAUGGCAUCUGAGUAUGAGAAAUGUGUUUGUUUUAAGGACUGUUUAAGGGAUAGUCUAAGGGUUCUGAUUGCUCCGCUGAGGGAGCGUGAGUUUGUUGUUUUGGUAGAUAAGGCGAAGAUUGCUGAAGAGGUUGAGCACGUGGAGCACCUAAACAGGAAGCGAUAGAGAGGUAAGAACAAGAGGGAUUUGGUGCCCUCUAGUGCUGUUUAGAGGCCUAAAAAGUGGGCUAGACCUGAUUCGCUUGUUAGAUUGAGAGUUCGUGUUGCUCCUACUGGGAUUCAGCCUUGUGGUGAUUGUGAUAGGCCAUCCGAGCACGUGUUGGAAGAGAUUAGGGGCUUGUCUGCGGUGUGGGUCUUUGGAGCAUGGGAUUAGAGAAUGUCCACAUCGUGCUGAUCAGACGCAAGCUUUGGGACUGAGUUUUGAUCAACCUCAGAAGGCAGUACAACAACCACCUAGGGGCCAUAGACCGGCUAGGAGUGGUAAUGGUAUCGGCUGAUGACAGAAAGCACCGGGUAGAGGUGCUAAUCAGAUUGAAAUGAGGCAGCCUGUAUUGGUUUAUGCUGCUUGAUGCCGAGAGGAUAAUGACAUUCCUGAUGUGAUCACGGGUAUGUUUUUAAUUUUUGAUGCUCCAUAUACUGCUUUGAUAAACAUAGGUUCUACGUACUCCAAUGUAGCUAGUACUGUUUCUAGGAACUUGGGGAUUUUUGUUGAGUGCGCUUCUGGUGAUAUUAUUGUACUAAGUCCAUUGGGAUAGUCUAUUCGAGUAAAUAAACUUUAUAGGAAUGUUUCGUUAAAAGUAUAAGAGGCUGCGUUUUCAGAAAAUUUGAUAGAGCUACCAUUUGGGGAGUUCAACUUAAUUCUGGGUAUAGACUAGUUAGUUGAGCACCGAGUUAGGUUCAAUUGUGCGACUAAAAGGGUUGUUCCGAGGACCGGGGAUGAUAAGGAAGUGGUUGUGAUCGAUGAGCAUCGAGAUUACUUGUCUGAUGUGUUCUCCACUUUAGUGGCUGAGAAAUUGGUUUAGAAAGGGUAUGAGGCGUAUUUGGCCUAGUCAGUGUUUCAGUUCUAGGAACUCUUCUGUCAAGGAUAUUAAAACAAUGAAGGAAUUUUUAGAUGUUUUUCCUGAGGCAUUACCAAGUUUACCUCUAAAUUAGGAAGUUGAGUUCGGCAUUGAGCUUCCAUCAGGUACAGCUUCGGUGUCUAUCGCUCCAUACCGUAUGGCACCGAAGGAGCUUACAGAGUUUAAGGCUCAACUUCAAGAGCUUCUAGAUCGUGGUUUCAUCCAUCCUAGUAUGUCUUCGUGGGAGGUAUUGGUUCUGUUUGUAAAGAAAAAUGAUGGUACCAAGAGGAUGUGCAUCGACUACCGGCAGUUGAAUAAACUGGCUGUGAAGAAUAAGUACCCACUUUAGAGGAUUGACAACCUAUUUGAUCAGUUCCGUAAGGCUACGGUAUUCUAAAAAGUAGAGCUUCAUUCUAGGUAUCAUCAGCUUAGGGUUAAGAAAGCUAAUAUUCAUAAGGCAGCUUUUAGGACUCGUUAUGGGCACUACGAGUUUCUAGUUAUGCCCUUCGAUUUGACGAAUGCUCCGGCUACAUUCAUGGAUAUGAUGAACCGAGCUUUUCAGCCGUAUCUGGACCAGUUCUUCGUAAUCUUCAUUGACGAUAUUCUGGUGUACUCUAAGACUAAGGAUGAGCAUGGUGCGCAUCUUAGAGUAGUGCUUCAGAUGCUCCGAGAGAAACAACUCUACGCUAAGUUGAGCAAGUGUGAGUUUUGGUUGCGAGAGGUAACUUUUCUGGGACAUGUGGUUUCUGCUGAGGGGAUUCGAGUUGAUCCUUGAAAGAUUGAGCUUGUGCUUGAUUGGAAGCAGCCUAAGAAUGUUUCUGAUAUCCGUAGUUUUCUGGGUCUUUCGGGUUAUUAUUGGCUGUUUGUUGAAGGGUUUUCACUAAUUACGGCUCCUUUGACUAAGCUUCUGCUCAAGAGUGUUUCUUUCGUUUGAACUGAUAUGCAAAAAUCGAGCUUUGAAAAGCUCAAGUCCGUUUUGACUCAAGAUCCUAUUCUGAUAUAGCCUGAAUUUGGUAGGGAGAUUGUGGUGUACAGUGAUGCGUUGCACAUCGGUUUGGGAUGUGUACUGAUGCAAGAUGGUAAGGUUGUGGCUUAUGCGUCCUGUCAGCUUAAGUCAUAUGAGGGGAAUUAUCUGAUGCAUGAUCUCAAGUUAAUCGCGGUGGUGUUUGUGUUAAAAAUCUAGAGGCACUAUCUGUAUAGUGAGAGGUUUAUUAUCUACACCGAUCACAAGAUCCUCAAGUACCUCCUUACUCAGAAGGAGUUGAAUCUUAGGCAACGUUGAUGGAUUGAGUUGCUCAAAGAUUAUGACUGCACGAUAGAGUAUCAUCCUAGUAAGGCCAAUGUGGUGGUCGAUGCUCUUAGUCAAAGAACGAUGACUGAUUUGAGGGUUAUGUUCGCUCGUCUCAAUUUAUUUGAUGAUAGAGGUCUGUUAGCCGAGUUGCAAGUUAAGCCAACUUGGAUUGAUCAUAUUCGAGUUAAGCAGUUAGGGGAUGAUUCUAUGGUUCUGCGGUUUUGUUAGGUUGAGAGUCAUAGUACUUUUGAUUUUGGACUGAUUAAUGAUAGAGUUUCGUGUUUCUGAAGUCGGGUUUGUGUAUCGAGCAAUUGUGAUUUGAGGCAGUCAAUUUUGAGGGAAGCACAUAGUAGCCCUUAUGAUAUGCAUCCUGGUGGUAAUAAGAUGUAUCGGGAUCUUCGUGAGUUGUACUGGUGGCCGGGAUUGGAACGUGAGGUAACAGAUUUUGUUGGUUGUUGUCUGACAUGCCAGCAAGUUAAGGCUGAACACCAGUUGCCUUCAGGUUUGCUUCAACUUGUUAAGAUUCCCUUGUGGAAAUGAGAAUGAGUGACGAUGGACUUUGUUAGUGGAUUGCCCUUGACAUCCAUUAAGAAUGAUUCUAUUUGGGUCAUCGUGGAUCGAUUAACCAAGUCUGCCCAUUUUAUUCCGAUUUAGACGGACUACUCUCUGCAAAAGUUAGUGAAGCUCUACAUCUCUGAGAUUGUAAGACUGCAUAGGGUUCUGGUUUUGAUAAUUUCUGAUAGGGAUCUUUACUUUACUUCUCAGUUCUGGAGGAAACUGCAUGAGGCUUUAGGUUCAAGAUUGGACUUCAGUACCGCGUUUCAUCCUCAAACCGAUGGUCAAUCUGAGAGAGUGAUUCAGAUACUGGAGGAUAUGCUUCGGAGUUGUGUGAUUGAUUUCCAAGGUAGUUGGGAGGAUUUUCUGCCGUUAGCUGAGUUCGACUAAUGUAACAGUUUCCAGUCUAGCACCCAGAUGGCACCUUACAAGGCUUUGUAUGGUCGUAAGUGUCGUACUUCGCUAUGUUGGACUGAAUUGGGUGAGCAACGAAUUUUGGGUCCUGAGUUGGUUUUCGAGACUAAAGAUAAGGCUAGACGAAUUCAGGAUCGUCUGAAGGCGGCUUCUGAUAGACAGAAAUCCUAAGCGGAUCUGAAAAGAAGGGAUAUCCUCUAGUCACAAUCAAACCUUCUUUGAUUCUGAUCGGACCAUCUGUAUUUAACUGAACCCAAUUACUAGCAAGCUAAGGAUAUUAAAUUUUCGUGUUUAAUAGUUUUUAGAAAUUAUAUUUUGUAUUAAACUUUUGUCUGAAUUUCUUUCAAUAUCAAAUUACUCUUUAUAACGUAUGGUAUUUUAUGUCAUAUAUAUAUUUUUUAAAUUGUGUACAUGCAAUUUAGCCUGUAUAAUAUUAAUGGCAUUACUAGAUUUAAUUUUUUUUUAACUUUUGAAAUUUUUUUCUUUUACUAUUUUUAAAGAAUAACCAAAUAUUUAGAAUUCAAUCAAAUGAGAAUUUAGUUCAGUUGACAAAAAUAGAUAUCUUGAAUCUUGAGUACUUCAGUUUAAGACCUACUAUGCACAAAUAUUUACGUAAGGUUUUUUAAUUUUAAUUUAAUUAAUUUUAAUUUAGUUUUAAUCUCGAUUAUAUUAGAACGAUCGAUUUAUGAUUAUUUAUAUUUGUAAUUAUAUUGUACUUGUUACGCUAAAAAAAAUAAAAUUAUUUCACUUUUCCUUUUCUUUCAGAAUAUUUCAUAUUAAUUCCUAAUCGAUCCAGACAUCUGUUUUGUGGUUGCAUCCACUUUAAACUUCAUAAUUCCAAAAUAAGGUGAGCAAAUAAAAGGAUUUGCCUUCCAAUUAUAUAUUCUCACUAAAGGGAAUAUGCAAGUGCCUUCGUUCAUCAUCAUCAUGUGCAUGUGCUUGAUUUUCCCUUUUACCUGGCUAAUUGAAAUGUAUACAUGGGAGUGUGUAUAUAUACAUGCUAAUUGUCACCAUCUUUUAAAGCAUAUAUUCAGCUCCCUGAUAAAUUAUAGAGGAAUAUAUGUUUGUUAGCAUCCUUAUUUAUUAAAGUGAGAUGUUUAAUAAAUACGAGAUUUAUGAUACACUUACAUUUAUAAUAUAAAUGAAAAAUAAAGUUAUUUAACAAACAUAUUUAUUAAAAUUCAUAUAAUAAGCAAUUGAUAUUUUUUAUUAUAAAUGUAAAGUUAAUUGUUUACCAUGCUUGAAUUUAGAGUUGUCUAAGUGUUGAGUUACUCGUCUGAACUCGAGAGUUUGCUCGAAAUAUGAGAGGGUUUAAACAAGUAGACAAAGCUAAAAAAAUAGACUUAGGAAAAUAUAUAGACCCGUUUCCUAUUCGAGCUAGGCCUUGAAUAGAGUUUUUAAGCCCGAGCCUAACCCGACCUGAAUAUAUAUAAUUUCUAUAUUGAUUCUAUUCCUUUGCUGGGUAUGGAACAUUUGAAGGUGUGCAAUUUACUUACGGCAUGUUUGGUUGGGUGUAUUGGCUAUGCCAAUACACCCCUAAUCGGUGGGCCCCACUUAAGCUCCCUUUAUUCCGUUGUUUGGUUCAUGGUAAUGCUAUUACGGGUGUAAUCUAUUACUGCCCUAAUCGGUGAAAUCCAUCGAUUUGUAAUACAGCCCUUUUGCUCAGAUUAGGUGCUGCAUCCAAAUCCCUCCCUGUUUUACCCUCCCAAUUGGCUUCCCCAUUCCAUCGCCUCUUCCUUCGUUCUACCUUCGUUCUACCUUUGCCUCCCGAUUGGCUUCCCCAUUCCUUCGCCUCUUCCUCUGUCUCUCAACCUCUUCUUUUCUUUUUCUUUACAACCAGUCACUCUUUCGUUUUGCCUUCUCAACCAGUCGACCUUUUUCUUUUCUUUUUCUCUGUGUCACUCCUUCGAUUGCUCUCAAUUGAUGGGUUUCCAGGUUACUGCUACUGAAAGGUAAAGGUUUCUAACUCUCUUUUGCUCUCAAUUAUCCUGUAAUUGUUCUAACUCUCUUCUUCUCUCUGUACUGAGUUUUAAUGGCUGUCUUGUUAGUGUCUUCUUCAUUGCACUUUCAGGGCCUGAUCAUAUAAACUUCAUCGAAACACGGAAUCUUUUGUUUCUUCUUCUCUUUUGCUGGAGUUUUUGCUUUAAUUUUCGGUAAAAAUUUCUUACUAAUCUUUGAUUUUGGUUGUUUUCUCAUUGGUUGAUCUUUACGGCCCUCAUGGAAUCAAAGACCUGAAAGUUUAAAGGGAAUUUUCCUUACUUUCUUGAUAAAAUUCAAUUUAAAACAUUCCAAUAAUUUUUUCCACCUUGUGAUUGGUAAUUUUUCACUUCUUAAUUCUUUUUGAAUAAUUGAGUUAUCUACUUCGUUAUUAGAUGAUUAUUGUUAUGAUUAUUUGAAGAACAGUAACUUGUGUACAUGGAGUUUAUUUUGUUCUAAUUGCGUGACAGGUUUUCGAUGCUUAGUUGCAUGUUAAACAGAAAUCCAGAAUGAUCCUAUCAAUGCAAGAAAAGUCACAGUUUAUUCCAAUUUACAAUCAUUUUUUUCUUUUUCUAUGUGUGUUUUUAUCUUGUUAGGAUUAGACUUGCUCAUAUUCAUUUUCGUUCAGUAUGUUGUUUUUUCUAUUAGAUUUUCAUUUUUCUGGAUUGUUCUUUUAAAAAAUGAAUGAUUUUUCCUAGUAAUCUAAUUUAAUUUGUGUUUUUAUGUUAUGGGGGGCUAAAAUGAUUAGUAUUCUUCUCCAGCAAAGAGAAUGAAGCCAGAGGUUUCUUCGUUGAAUCCCUGUGCAGCAUCAUACAUACCACUUGCCAAAAGGGAGGGUUCCAUAGCUAAAGAUAUUAAGGCUGGAAAUGAGUCUGCUUGGUUUGAUCCUUCCUCACGUAGCAAUGCUUCACUUGAAUCUGCAAUCCCUGGCAUUGGAAACCACCUGGUUGCACUGAAAAGCGACCCUGGUCAUGGUUCUUUGAUGCAAAAUCAGGGUGAAAUGAGUGGCGAGCAGAUUAUGGAUGAGGAAUUCGACAUGGAUUUGGAGUAUCUUCGCAUGAUGUUCCCCGGUUUGUCCAAUGACUCUGUUCUGGAUGUCUACAUGGCUAAUAAUGGAGACUUAGAAGCCACUAUUGACAUGCUGAACCAACUUGAGGUAAAUUUUGCCUAUCUUUAUUUUAUAAUUUAUAUAACUUGAUUGUCUGAGUGGUCUUGCUGGAUUAGUUUUCUAUAUUAUUUUCAUCUCGAAUGUUUCCUAUAUUAUUAGCUCCUCUUACUGUUCCAUCCUGCAGAUUUCCAAGUGUCCCUCUAUGAAAGUGCUAGUAGUGAAGUAAUUGAAUUUAUGAAUAAUUUUCUGAUGUUAUGGGUAACAUAUUUCACUUGUUUUUAACUGUAUGACAUCAAAGAGUUAAGGAUGUUAGUCUGCAUUCAGGCCUAUUUCAGCAUAACCAUGGUUUUUCUUCAUUUGUUUUAAUCCUCCCUGUGCAAAUGAUAGAGAUUUUUCAACCUGUUUUUGUCUCCCACCUUUUGAACUUUCAUAUGAUUUUAUACAUUGAUUUAUGUCAAUGAUUUCCCCACAUAUUUUGUUCUUAUGGAUCGUAUACCUUCAGAUGCUUUUAUUGUUUUUAUUCACCUCACUUUCAGUUGAAUAUAUUAUAACUGAGGGUUGUGUAGUGUUAUCUUGUUCAUAUAAAUUUGUUUGGAAAUUUACCUAUUCUAUAAUGCCAUUAAUAAUGUAUGCUAAUUUGAAUAUUGGGGAUAGGAUGUUUUCCUCAUGCUGCUUGCUUCUUGUUUACUCAUUGUACGGCAAGUUCUUUCUUUGGUUUCAUUAGAAGUGAUUUCUGGAGUAUUUGUGAUUUUGAUUCUUGAAUUAGUUUAUGGUUGGGAUUAAAAAUGCACAUUUUUGCCCUUAUUUCAGUAUUCAUGUACAUUGGAUAGUUCUCUUUGUUAGAUGUACACUGUUGAGUCCUCUGACACUCUUCCCGACACAUUGGAUAUCGGUGAUAUCUCUGAAUUUAUCUCUUCAGCAAACUGUGGUACUCUUAAACUGAAGAAUGUGGCAGGUGAAACCGGCGCGUCUUCAUUAGGCUCUACAGAAUCAGCUGUUACCUCCUGAUUGACAUAAUCAAAGGGGUUUCAGUGUUUCUAGUUUUAGUUGUAUCUCUCAGUGGAUAAGAAGUGUACACAAGUAGGGUUCUUCUUCAAGGUUGAGAAAUGUAGUACUUUGCUUUUAACACUUGAAGGGUUUAACAUUGGAUGUGUAGUUGUAUGCUGUAACAUUUGUUUGGUCGCUCAACUUUUUCUACAUUUGUUUGGCGAUGGAAGAGUAUUUGUUUUGUUUAUGCCUUUGCUGGGGGUUCAUUUUCUCUAUAUAAUAUAAUAACUUAUAUUAGAAGUAAAAUUGUAUUUUGCUUUCUACUAAAAGAAUGGGCAAAUUAGUUCGUGUACGUAAGAUUAAAGAGCAAACUAAUCUUUUUGUUAAAAAUUUCAUCCAUUUUUAUAAUUAAAACCGGUCUUUAUAUGUCGGCAUGAGGUACACGUGGUACAUUACAUGUAAUUGUCUGAUUAUUUUUAUUGUUAACAAUUGAUCUUUUUACAUAGUUUGUGAUAUAUGCACAAAUGAGGUGAAAUUUAUUAAAUUUUAUUCACCGAAUCUAUCAAUUUUCAAAUUUGGAAAAUCAGUCGACUUGCAACGACUUUUUGGAUAGGAUCAAACAUUCUUGGAUUGAGAUAUUUUCAUAGUGUUUGGAGAUCUCUUAAUAUAAGAAUAUUAAUUAUUAAGAAUUUUAUUAAAUUAUAUAUUUUAAUUAUAAUAUAUUUAAUAAUAAUUAUGUUUAAAUAUGAUUAAAAUAUUUAUUAUUGAUAUUAAUAAUCUUAUUAAAAUUUAAAUAACAAUAACAAUAAUAAUUUACCAAAACAAAUUUCUGCUAAUUAUUAAGAAUUUUAUUAAAUUAUAUAUUUUAAUUAAAAUAUAUUUAAAAAUAAUUAUUUUUAAAUAUGAUUAAAUUAUUUAUUAUUGAUAAUAAUAAUCUUAUUAAAAUUUAAAUAAUAAUAACAAUAAUCAUUUACCAAAACAAAUUUAUGCUAAGGGUAUUCUAGUCAUUUUAGUUUUUUCCAUUAUGUUAUUACACCUCUAUUCCAUUCAACCAAACACAAGAUUACUAUUACGCCUCUAUUCCAUUACAUUCAACCAAACAGUUGAUUUGCUAUUACACCUCUAAUCCAAUACACCUCUAAUCCAAUACAGCUCUAAUCUAAUACACAUCUAAUCUAAUACAGCGAACCAAACGCACCCUUAGUGAUACUGAUGAUGUCUAAGUUGAUUGUAAUUACAUUUAUAAGAUCCCGAUAGCUCUGCAUAAAGGUUUGGAUAAGAUGAUUUGGCGUUGCUCUAAUAAUGGAUUAUAUUCAAUAAAAUCAGGAUGCAAGUUAGCCUCUGAUUUGUAUUCAAAUUUUGUUUCGAAUGAAGCCGGCGGUCCUCGAUUGAAGAUUUGGAAUGGCCAUUUCCAAUCGGAGGUGAACUAUUUUACUUGGAGGUGUCUCAGAAACUUUAUUCCUACCAAGGCAAUGUUAAUUGUUAAAGGAUUAAAUGUGCCUUCUAUUUGUGCUAAAUUUUAUAUAUAAACUUACGCCCUGUUUGAGAAUGUUAAUCAAUUAAAAAUUAAUAUUCAAUUAAUUGAAAAUUGAUAUGUAAUUUUAGUUGAAAUUUGAUGAAUUGUUUUUUUUAAAUGGAAUGGCAAUAUUUGCAUGAUAUUUUGAGUUCAAAUAUCUUUAUGAUUAAAUUUUUAUUGAUUUAUUAUAUGUAAAAAAGAUUAAAAAAAGAAAGAAAAGAACAUUAUCACAAAAAUAUAAUUUAAUUAGUAUAUAAGAGAAUAUUUUAAUAAUUUUAAAAUUGAAUUGAUAAUCCAUCACACUGGUAUAGAUUAACUAAGGAGUGUUUCAAAGUGUUGAACGCCUCAUGGUCUGGAAAACAUGGCCAUAAAAACAAUAUACUAAACACAUAAGUGUAAGACCCAAAUUUUGCCCAAGCCUAAAAUAUUUACAGUCCAAUUACAAAACCCAAUAUUUAACCUAAACUAUCAGCCCAAUUAAGACCUAAAACAAAGACCCAAAACCAAGCCCAACACGGCCCAAACUAACAAAAACCCUAAUGCCUCGAUAGGCCCAAAAUCUAAACAAAUUUCAGCCAAAAUAUGGAAGCAGAAACCCAAGUGCGCCGCUCCCUACGUGGUGUCAGCACCUUCUCCGCUGCAACGCUGCCACUGGCCUCCUCCACGCCUCUGACAGCACCUGCAAAACCAAAGCAACAAGCAAAACAACAGCAGAGACAACAGUGGCAACAGAGUAGAAGGAAAACGAAAUAGUAGAAUAUAUUGUAAUUUAUUCGACUAUAAAAGCCUCGAAAAAUCAGUGUAUCAAGGGGGAUUUUUGGGGAACAAAAAAGAAAAUCGAAUAAAAGAGAAGAAAUUUGAAACAAAAUACCAAAGGUGAUUCCUCUUUUUAUUUUUUAUCUUACUUUCAAAAAAAAAACAAUAAACAAAAGCACGGUCUUUUUACCUGAGUCGACAAACCUUCCACAGUGGUCGAAAGUCCUCUCCGGCGUUCGAAACCUAGAACCCAUAGUGGUUCGGCGUGAUGAUUUUGAGAGACGUUGUAACGCCUCAAUUUUUAGGCCUGGAAGUAUUGGGCCUUCAGUCUAGGUUUGGGUAGAAGACGGCCCGAAUAAUUUGGAUGUUAUUAUUAUUAUUAUUUCGUAUGUUUAGUUUAGUAAUUAAAUAAAUUAUGAAGGGUUUAUGGUGUGGGAAAAGGUCCAGGGCUCGGCCCAUAGCUUUAGCAAAAUUAUUAAAUUUUGCCUCUUAAGGGAAUCUGGGCAAUAGGCCUUAUUAAUAAUUUGGGCAAGGAACUUGGUGUUGGCCGAAUAUUGGACUCUUGAGGGGCAAGAGUUGGCCGACCAAGGGUCUUUAGUAUAGGCAAUUCGGCUAGGUCUAUGUGCUUUUUAAUUUUUCCCUUGACGAAUAUUAUUUCCCUUCUCCCCUCUCUUUUAUUCAUAUUUUCUUUUCUUUUUCCCUCAUAGCCGAACCCAUACCCCUUUCUUUCUUCAUUAUUUCUUAAAAGUCAAAUCUUAUUAUAGCCGAACCUCUAUUCUUUUCUUCCUUAAAAAGCCAAAACCUUCAUACCUAUGGUUUAGGAAGCCGGAUCUUUGGCUACUUGAACCUGUUUCUUCUAACUACGGUAGAUCGGGAUUAAUAUCAUAGAUAUGAGCACUUUUCUGGGCCAAACAAUGAUUGGUAAGUUUGUCGAAUAAUUUUUGUUAAUUAUUUAUGAUUUAAUAUAAAAGCGGAAACCCCUUAAGGGUGGCUAAUGUUUGGACUAAGGGCGUUAGUGCCUCUUUUUUUCCAUUGUAUAAGCAUUAGCGUGGACAAAGGGGCGUGCAGUAAAGGGUUUGAAGACUGAUUCGGACUGGAUAUCUAGAUCUAAUCCAUAUUUCGGCAAAAAGGUAAGAACUCUAGGGUUAAGGGAUGUUGGCCGAAUUUGGUAAGGGGGAAUAGUACGUAGUUUGUUUUCGGUAUGUAGACUGACAUUUAGUAACUCGAUUGUAGGAAACCCCUGAGUGGAUCUCGCCAGCAUACCGUUACAAAUCAGGUGUGUAAACGACACCCACUCAUAGACUAGAUCGGCAAAAGCCGAAAAGUUGAAAUGCCGAAAAGUCGGCAUUUUGUGAACUUGCGAGCGUGCGAGUGCUCGUGAGGUGGUUAGUUUGUUAAAUUUUGGUAAUCACAAGCGGUAUGAUUGUAGAGUGCGCAAUUUCAUGCACUUCAGUAUAUUUGGGCUUAAUGGGCCGAAAACGGGUUAGUGGGCCAACGGGCCUAAUUCGGUAAAAACGCUCGGUAGGUGUUUUUGUUAAUGCGUUAAUAACUAUAAUGAGCAUGAAACCCUAAAAAUAUUGAUAAAAUUACUGAAAUACCUCUGUAAGAUAGAAUUACCGUAAUACCCCUAAAGGGGUAAGUUUACGAUUACGCCCCUCGAGGGUAAAUAACUAUUCUUACGCUAUAAUCUGACUGUCUUUCUGAAGCAUGCCUUGUUAAUUAUAUAUAUAUAUUCUACAUACAUGUCAUACUGCAUGGGGUUGGGUUUUGUUAUGGAGGAAGAACCCGUUCUGGUAGCUGUGCCACAUAUUCUGAUAUAAGCAACUUGGCUGCGGAUUAUAGUUAGUGCCGCAACUGGUGCUAACACUGUAAGUGUAAGGAUGGCGUGGGUGAUUUAUUCCCCACAGGAAGUGUAGGGAUGGACGGAGGCAAGUGCAGGGUUGGAUGGGGUUAUCAUGUGUUAAUCAUAUGAGACUGUUUUAUUAUGGGCCAACUGUAUUGAAAUGGGCCCAACUGUGUUGAUAUGGGCAAGGCCCAAUAUAUCUCGACUUGUAAUAGGGCUAUCGCCCAGAUUAAUACUAAUAUGGGCUAGACCCAGUAUACUUUGAUAUUGUAAAGGGCUAUGGCCAGAUUAAUAUUGAUAUGGCCUAAGGCCCAGUUAGCCCUGAUUUUUGAAUAGAGGUUAGGCCUAGUAAAGCUUGAACUGAUUUGGGCUCUGGUUGGGAUACUUUACACACUGAGUUUUCUAAACUCACCCCAUUUUUUCCUAUCUUUGCAGGUGAGCCUUAGAUCGGUGGACUUGGAGCUGGAGGGAUUCAGAGUGGCCAUGUGGACUGUUUAAAAUAAGUGUUUAUACCUUCACUUUUAUUUUAGAUUAUUUCCUUUAUGUUUUCGGGUUUUUAAUUUGUAAUAAGGCUGCUUUAAUUAUUUUUUAAUUGUUUUUAGUAUGUUUUGUUAGCUUAGAUAUGAUAUUGUUUUAAUUGUUUGAAAUUGAAUAGCUCUAGGGCGUGUUUUCAAAAGAAAUUACCUGAUUUCAAAAUAUCGCGAAACAAGACAAAGCUUCCGCAACGAAAACGUUUUCAAAAUUUAAUAAGUGAUUUCAAAUGGAUAAAAACGAAAUGGUUUCUUCUAAACAAUCGCUCAGUUAAAGUGUGGCAAUGGUUGUGUGCAUGUCUAGGAGUGGAUCCGUGGAGAGCUUGGUACUUAAGCAGUCUAAUAGACUCACCUCCUCUUUUCUAGUAUCCUACCUGGUGCACAGCUCCCAUUCACUUUAAUUUAAAACGAAAAUAUUCUUUGAACACUAAGAAAAAAAUUUAGAUAAGACAUGAGUUUUCAGUUACGCUUUAAUGUGACACGUUGGAUUCGACCGUAAUAUAUGAGCCGGGUUUGGGGUGUUACAUUUAGUGGUAUUAGAGCCCAGUUGCAACAACUCGGCUGUGGAUCGGGUCCGAACGUUUUUCAUAAAAUUUUGAAAUCUAGUUCCAUGGAAAAACACUGAAAUCGAUUUUGUGGAAAUGUUAGAAAAUUAUUUUAAAUUUUGUUUUCAAAGUGCACAAAGAAUAAAUUUGAAUUUUACUAAGUGCACAAAGAAGUGGCACACUGAAUCCCCGGCACCAAGUCUGUAAGUACCUUUUCUGAACUUUACUAAGUAUUUGUUAUAUUACUGAGACUCUGCUAUGACAUUAUAGUUAGAGCUAGAGUGCACAGUAGAAGCAUAGUGGUUUGGCUUGAGUAAUACGGUUAGUUGAUAGUUUGAAAUUUCGAGGACGAAAUUUCUUUAAGGGGAGUAGAGUUGUAACGCCCCGAUUUUUGGGCCUGAAAGUAUUGGGCCUUGAGUCUGGGUCUGGGUAGAAGACGACCCGAAUAAUUUGGAUGUUAUUAUUAUUAUUAUUAUUUAUUAUUUCGUAUGUUUAGUUUAGUAAUUAAAUAAAUUACGAAGGGUUUAUGGUGUGGGAAAAGGUCCAGGGCUCGGCCCAUAGCUUUAGCAAAAUUCUUAAAUUUUGCCUCUUAAGGGAAUUUGGACAAUGGCCUUGUUAAUAAUUUGGGCUGAGUUUUAGCAUAAGCAGGCACCUGGCCCAGUGGCUAAGGACGCUAGGAGGGCGUGGGAGGUGCUUGGGUUCAAGGCACAGCGCGCGCAAAUUGGGUGUUUUAUUUUAAUAUGCAGAUGGCGGUUGAAAUAAGGGUUAAGAGGAAAUGCCAGCAUAAUUCAACACAAGGAGCGCCUGUGGCGCAGUGGCAGCAGCGUGCUGGGCACACAGAGAGGGGGCGGGUUCGAGUCCUUGCGCGGGUGAACUCCGUUUUAUUUUUGAAACGGGCCAGAACUGAAGAAGGUAAGGUUAUAAAAUAAUUGAGAGAGGAUUAUGUUAUGGAAGGAACCUCGGUGCAGUGGCAAGCAGUGUAUGUGUGUGUUUAGCAGGUCCUGGGUUCGAGAGGAACAGUAGGCAAAAUUUCUUUUUUAUUUCACAAGUAACCGGAGCUUCAGCAGGUAAGGUUUUAUAAAUAAUUGUAACCAUAUACUAGUAAAGAAUGAAGUGUGGUGCAGUGGCCAGCAGCACUGGCGUAAGUGUAAGGGUAGACGGAGGUUUGGGGUUCAAGUCUCACUUUGUUUUUAUUCAUAUUUUCUUUUCUUUUUCUUUUUCCCUCAUAGCUGAACCCAUACCCCUUUCUUUCUGUCUCUUCCCUUAUUUUACUUUCUUCAUUAUUUCUUAAAAGCCGAAUCUUAUUAUAGUCGAACCUCUAUUCGUUUCUUCCUUAAAAAGCUGAAACCUUCAUACCUGUGGUUUAGAAAGCCGAAUCUUUGGCUACUUGAACCUGUUUCUUCUAACUACAGUAGAUCGGGAUUAAUAUAAUAGAUAUGAGCAAUUUUCUGGGCUGAACAAUGAUUGGUAAGUUUAUCGAAUAAUUUCUGUUAAUUAUUUAUGAUUUAAGAUAAAAGACAGAACCCCUUAAGGGAGGCUAACGUUUGGACUAAGGGCGUUGGUGCCUCUUUCUUUUCCAUUGUAUAAUCAUUAGCGUGGACAAGGGGAUGUGCAGUGAAGGGUUUGAAGACUUCUUCGGAUUGGAUCUCUAGAUCUAAUCCAUAUUUCGGCAAAAAGGUAAGAACUCUAGGGUUAAGGGAUGUUGGCCGAAUUUGGUAAGGGGGAAUAGUACUUAGUUUGUUUUCAGUAUGUAGACUGAUGUUUAGUAACUCAAUUGUAGGCAACUCGUGAGUGGAUCUAUCCAGCGUACCAUUACAAAUCAGGUUUGUAAACGACACCCACUCAUAGACUAGAUUGGCAAAAGUCGAAAAGCUGAAAUGUUGAAAAGCCGUCAUUUUGUGAACUUGCGAGCGUGCGAUCGCUCGUGAGGUGGUUUGUUUGUUAAAUUUUGGUAAUCACAAGUGGUAUGAUUGCAGAGUGCGCAAUUUCGUGCACUUCGGCAUAUUUGGGCUUAAUGGGCCGAAAACGGGUUAGUGGGCCAACGGGCCCAAUUCGGUAAAAACACUAGGUAGGUGUUUUUGUUAAUGUGUUAAUAACUGUAAUGAGCAUGAAACCCUAAAAAUACUGAUAAAAUUACUGAAAUACAUCUGUAAGGUAGAAUUACCGUAAUACCCCUAAAGGGGUAAGUUUACGAUUACGCCCCUUGAGGGUAAAUAACUGUUCUUACGCUAUAAUCUGACUAUCUUUCUGAAGCAUGUCUUGUUAAUUAUAUAUAUAUAUAUUCUGCAUACAUGUCAUACUGCAUGGGGUUGAGUUUUGUUAUUGAGGAAGAACCCGUUCUAGUGGCUGUGCCACAUAUUCUGAUAUAAGCAGCUUUGCUGCAGAUUAUAGUUAGUGCCGCAACAGUUGCUAACACUGUAAGUGUAAGGAUGGCGUGGGUGAUUUAUUCUCCACAGGAAGUGUAGGGAUGGACGGAAGCAAGUGCAGGGUUGGAUGGGGUUAUCAUGUGUUAAUCAUAUGAGACUGUUUUGUUAUGGGCCAACUGUAUUGAAAUGGGCCCAACUGUAUUGAUAUGGGCAAGGCCCAAUAUAUCUCGACUUGUAAUAGGGCUACGGCCCAGAUUAAUACUGAUAUGGGCUAGACCCAGUAUACUUUGAUACUGUAAGGGGCUAUGGCCAGAUUAAUAUUGAUAUGGUCUAAGGCCCAGUUAGCCCUGAUUUCUGAAUAGGGGUUAGGCCUAGUAAAGCUUGAACUGAUUUGGGCUCUCGUUGGGAUACUUUACACACUGAGUUUUCUAAACUCACCCCAUUUUUUUCCCAUCUUUGCAGGUGUGCCUUAGAUCGGUGGACUUGGAGCUGGAGGGAUUCAGAGUGGCCAUGUGGAUUGUUUAAAAUAAGUGUUUAUACCUUCACUUUUAUUUUAGAUUAUUUCCUUUAUGUUUUCGGGUUUUUAAUUUGUAAUAAGACCGCUUUAAUUAUUUUUUAAUUGUUUUUAGUAUGUUUUGUUAGCUUAGAUAUGAUAUUGUUUUAAUUGUUUGAAAUUGAAUAGCUCUAGGGCGCGUUUUCAAAAGAAAUUACCUGAUUUCAAAAUAUCGCGAAACAAGACAAAGCUUCCGCAACGAAAACAUUUUCAAAAUUUAAUAAGUGAUUUCAAAUGGAUAAAAACGAAACGGUUUCUUCUAAAUAAUCGCUCAAUUAAAGUGUGGCAUGGUUGUGUUCAUGUCUAGGAGUGGAUCCGUGGAGAGCUUGGUACUUAAGCAGUCUAAUAGACUCACCUCCUCUUUUCUAGCAUCCUACCUGGUGCACAGCUCCCAUUCACUUUAAUUUAAAACGAAAAUAUUCUUUGAACACUAAGAAAAAAAUUUAGAUAAGACAUGAGUUUUCAGUUACGCUUCAAUGUGACAUGCUGGAUUCGACCGUAACGUCUGGGUCGGGUUUGGGGUGUUACAGAAGUUAAAAAAGUUUUUGGUUAUUUUUUUUAUUUUGGAAGUAGAGGGUUCAAAACGGAGAAAAAAUGGCUCUUUUCGUGUACUCCGACCAUUGUGGACGGCGGCCGCCACGGUGGUCCGGUGAUCGGACCUUGGCCGGAUGCUGGAAGAGGGGAUAGAGUUUGAGAGGUUUUUCCUUUGUUUUUUUUGAGAGGUGUUGAAAAGAGCAAAAAAAAAGAGUGUAAAUUUUGGUUUAAAUACUAGUACUAAAACGAUACUGUUUUGGGCUUUAUGCCCCAGAUGCAAAACGACGCCGUUUCAUCCCUACCCGCGUGUUGACCCGACCCGUCUAGGGGCAUCCACGUGUUUUGACCGAAUGGGCUUGUUGCACUUUUGGCCCUUCCGCUUUUUUAUCAAUUUGCAAUCAAGCUUCCUUUUAUUUGUAAUUCGUGCCCUAUAAUUUAUUUCAAUCAUCAAUUUAGUCCCACACAAAGUGACACGUUUUGGAGGGCAGGAAUAUUUAUUCCUCUAGUCCCUCCAUUUCAUUCGCGCACUGCAAUAUGGUCCUUUCCCUUUUAUUCCUCUCAGAUUUGCCCCGAAUUUUUGUUUUAAGUUCAAAUUGGUCCCUUUUUGUUAUUUUUGCUAUUUUAUUAACUGUUUAAUAUUAUUGUUACUAUAAUCAUAUUUUAUUUUUGUGCUUAUUUAUUUGCUACUAUCAUUAUAUUAUUAUAUUAGUAACUUUGUAUUAUUAUCAUUAUUAUAAUCAUAUUUUCUUUUUGUGUUUCUUUACUUAUUAUUACAUUAUUAAUUGAUCUAUUAUUACUAUUAUUAUUAUUUUCACUAUUACUAUUAUUUUCUAACAUUAUUAUUACUAUUACUAUUAUUUAUUUAUUUAUUUAUUUAUAUCAUUGUUGUUAUUAUUAUUAUUCCUGAUUUUAUUAUUAUUGGUGUAUUAUUAUUAUUAUUCUUCAUUUUAUUAUUAUUUUCUAUUUUAUCAUUUAUUAUUAUUAUUUAUUAUCAAUAUUAUUAUUAUCAUUGCUAUUUUUAUUUUCAUUACUAUCAUUAUUAUUAUUUACUAUUAUUUAUUAUCAUUAUUAUCACCAUUUCCUACUAUUAUUAUUAUUAUUAUCAUCAUUAUUAUUUAUUUGUUUACAUAUGUUUUAUUACAAAUUGUGUCUUUAACUUCAUUUAUCUUUUGAUUCUUUACUUUCAAUAUUUCUUUGUCUUUAUUAUAUUUCAAAACUGGUAUCGUCAUUUCAUGUGCGUGAUUUAUCAUUAGUGUUCUUGUCGUCAUCAUUGUUAUUAUUAUUUAUUUUGUUUUCCUUUGAUGGUUAAUACUGGAAUUAAAGUGAUAUGCAUUAUGGAUUGCUUAUUAGUAUAUUUACAUUAUUGCCACUUAUUUGUGUAACAUUCGAUUCUUAUGCCAUUUUUAUAUUACGCUAAUUCUUACUCAAAUACACAAAAAUAAAAUUUUUAAAAUAAGGCAAUAUUCUGUGUUUGGAGAUUUGAAAGAUCGUGCCCUAACUUAUUGGGUUUCGAUUUUUCUUUGUUCGACCUAAAUGACCGAAUAACCUUUUGAAAUUAAAACGCAUGAAUUUUGAAAAUCAAAAAGCAAGCUUAUUCUCGAGGUUUUAAAAUGCUGUGUCCUAAUUUAUUGGAUGUGACAUUUUAUUACUUCGGGACAAGAAGGUCUUUAACAUCCGUUUCGAUUGAUGCAAGCAAAUUCUUUGUAAAAAAAUCAACAUUAAAAAGAAAGGAUCGUAUUUUUAAUUCUUUUCGAGUUUUUAAAUUUUUACAUUAAGACAUUAAUUAAUCAAUUUGGUACCAAUUUUGGGCGUGACAAGGGUUCUAAUCAUUCCUUGCACGUAACCGACUCCCGAACCCGUUUUCUCAAAUUUCGUAGACAAAAAUUGUUGUUUUAGCAAAUCGAAAUAUUUUAUUAAAAUAACCAAAUUUCUAAGUGAUCUGAUCACACCUAAAUAAAAAGAUUGAUAGCGACUUCCAAUUUUUGUUUUCUUUUCAAAAUAUAAAAUUGAUCCGUUUUAAAAAAAUAGUUUCGAGAGUAAGAAUGUUAGAUCCAAUCGGUUAAAGUAUCCUAUCCCAUUGAAUUUCUAAUUUCCAGCCAAUUGGGUGACUCAUUCUGUCUCGAUUAUGGAUUGAAUAUACACGGAUCCCACAACCCUUUAAAUGACGAGAGUUUCCCACUGCCACAGUUUAGAAAUUCUAUUUUAAAGAGAAGUGACAUUUACCUCAUUUACUCUUAUCGGUUUGUCAUGUUUUGAAUUUGAUCUAUUGCAAAAACUUUCUGAUCUCAUGAUGAGUUUUAUUCACUAUGACACCUUCGUUGACAACAUCCAUCAUAUUUCUUUCCAUGGGUAGGAGUCAUUCAUAAAAAUAUUGGAUGAAUAAUUGUUCCAAAAUUCUAUGUUGUGAGCAACUACCACAUAAUUGCUUAAAUCUCCUAAUACUCGUGAAGAGUCUCCAUACCGUUUUGCUUGAUGCCGUAACUUUUUCCUAGUAGAAAUAGCACAUGACGUAAAAAAAAAUCCGAAAAUAAUCUUAUCAUGUCAAUCCAUGUAGUAAUAGAUCCAGGAGGUAGAUAAUAUAGCCAAUCCUUCACCUUGUUGGCUAGUGAAAAGGUGAAGUCUCUUAGUUUGGUUUGUUCUUUGAUCACUCAUUGUCGUCUCAUAAUAGAACACACUACACCACAUGAAAAUCAUUCAAGUGCUUACGAGGAUCUUUGUUUUUUUGACCACAAAAACUGUUAGUACAAAUAUCCGGUGAGAAAAAUCUCGAACACACGAACAGAACUCGAAAGAAGAAGAAAUAGGACAAGGCUCCAAGGCGUGUAUCAAACCACUUUCUCUAAGAUUAUAUUCGCCCCCACCUAUCUUUGGUGUACAAAUGAGUUCCAAGCAAAUUAACCUUGAUGAUACAAUGAAGCCAAUGACUAUUAGCGUUUUGUACUGACGAGAAUAGCCCACUACACACUGAGCAAUGUAUGACAAGAAACUCAAUUUCUAUAAAGGAUUUUUGCAGUAAUACUUUAUAGAAUAAUCUAAUGAUAUUAGAAAAUGAAGAAAGGAAAGAAAGAAUAUUAGAAUUUGUUGGUAUGAUUUCCAAAUGAAAUCUCAUUCUAUUUAUAGGAAUUUUCAUGUCUCUUCAUAAAGACAUCUUUCAUCAAUAGGUGUCUUUCUGAAUAAUAAUGUCUUUAAAAUAAACACAUAAUUAUUCAAUUAAUUAUAACUAUUCAAAUAAUAUUAUUUAAAUAGUUAUAAUUCUUUUUCAAAAAAUCAAAUAAUAUAAUCUUUUGAUUAAUUACACCCAUUCAUUUAUAGUUGUAAAUAUUUGAAAAUGUUCCAACAAAAAGUAGGCAAUAAAUGAUUUAGUCCAGAUUUUAAUUCAAAAGAUACUUCUAAUCCUAGAUAUUCAAUGCACAACAGUUGUUGCUUCAGAUUUAUUUAAGAGAGAAAUUGGUUAUUCUCCUUUUGAUUCGGUAGAUGAAUCGACUGAAUUGUUCUAUGUAUCUAGUUGGGUAAUGAAGAUGGUUGGUUAGUUCUUGCUCGAACUCUCUUCCUUAGUCUUCGAGCAGUUCUCUCAAACUCAGGAUUGUACAAGAGUUCACCUGCACGAGAAGAUUAAAAUUUUAAUUUUAAUAAAUAUAUUUAAUACUGAGAAAAAAAGAAGAUCAAAACAUAAAAAUGAACAAAAAUUAAAUUAAAUUAAAAACAAGAAAGAGAUAAAAUUAUUAACAUUAAUAUAUGAUAAAAAGGUUAAAAUCUGUACAAUUGUUGAGACCUAUAAAAAUAAAAUCCUACUAAAAAAUAUAAAUUUAGUACAUAACAUUGAGUAGAGUCGUAUUCAUAGAUAUUGAUAAUAACUUUAUUUUUAAAACAAAAACAAGGAAAGUAAAUAUGAUGGAGAUUUUAGAAAAUAAAAAGCUAAAUUUAAAUUUAAAUCUUAACCAAGAAGGCAAUAAUAAAAAUUAUCAAUGAGAUGGAGCUCUAGCCAAUUGUAAAAUAUCUGUUUGAUUCACAAGUUUAAUCAUUGAUGGAAAGAUAAUUCCAUUGUUCUUUAAUAGAUUAGUUCAAAGUUGCCAAUGUCGUACCUAGCAAUCAGUCUCUCCUUAAUUUAUCGAUAACCAAGAGAAAGCUGUUGAAAUUAAUCUUCUUAUCAAUGAACAACCCUAUAACCUCACGUUUAGAAUUUAACUUACCGAUAGAGUUAUAAACGAGAGAGACCUAAUUUUAACCAAAAAAACACACAAGUAGGAUUUAUUUAAAUUAGAUUGCAUUCCCACACAACAUUGAUUGCAUACACAGUUACAGUAUUUAAAUUAGCUCCAUUGGCCAUGGAUUCUACAAGUUGUGUUGACAUUGAUGAUUUUUUUUAUGCUAUUGGUGAUGUCUGUAUUGUCAAAGCGUCAGGUAGAAUGUAUAACAGAUGGCUUGACCAUUGCUGACUUUUACCAAUCCAGCAUGUUUUAAAACUUGGUGGUAGUUGCUGCUACUGGUUAUGUAUUGAGUUGCUGGGAUGCUAGUUAUGUUUUAUUCUGCUGUUGGAAACAUGGUUUGUUGUUGGGGAUUUUUUUGUUGUCAGAUUUACUAUGUUAUGGUUCCUGGUUUAUUGUUUGAUGACUUGAUGGAUGGACGCAGAAGUUGGAGAAAACAUAAGAGUAUAAAUUGAGUCAAAAGAUAAAAUAGUAAAGGCCAUUCUGUUUUAUUUUUCCAUAAUAUUAUACAAACAGUCAACCAUGUAUAUACACAUGGCACUGACAUGAUUGUGAAGGCCUACACACUUUCUAAUGGUUGUACUGGCUAUCAAAAUUUAUUACCAUAACAGUAGUACGGGUAAUGAAGCAGCAGGCAGCUCGUUAUUAUUUAAUUUUGAUAGCCUUAACUACCAGCAUAGCUUGAUGAAGAAGCAAAGGCAGUUAUGCCUCUAACUCAAAUGAUGCCUUCAUUGUGGGUGAACGGCUCACGGGAUCAAUUUCAAUAGAUGCAAUGUACCCAAACUUUGUAACUUUAAAUUUUGGUUUUCCU
Molecule: long non-coding RNA, 88148 nt
Filed under: Gossypium barbadense (sea-island cotton)
Lineage: Eukaryota; Viridiplantae; Streptophyta; Magnoliopsida; Malvales; Malvaceae
Description: long non-coding RNA (GBAR_LNC002996)
Source: RNAcentral